UGGAACCUUUUUAGACCGCAUCGUUAUUAGCUCAUCUCCUGCUCGUCCCUCAGUUGAUCCAUGCCCAAGGUGUGGCGAGAACUCGAGGGAUAAUGGUGUCAUCCUAUCCUGCAUUGAUUGUUUUCUUGACGGUGGCAAGCUCUACCUCUUUGAGUAUUAUGUCCCAGCGGCAGCCUUUCUCGCCAAACCUCGAGGGGGGACUUGCACCACUGCCAAGUCCGACCCUCCAGAAGAGGUGAUCCACCGUGCUACUUUCCUCCUUGAGAACGGUUUUGGUGACUACAACGUGUUCAAGAACAACUGUGAGGACUUCUCAAUCUACUGUAAAACGGGUCUUCUUGUAACAACUGUCCUCAGUGUUGGUCGGAGCGGGCAGGCGACAUCCUUGUUUGCCGCUGUAAGCACUGCUGUUUCUUUACCACUCCGAUAUUUGAUUGCCGGCUACACUGGCGGGACAGUUUUCGGCUAUGGUUUGUAUUGUGCUAACCGAUAUGCUUCUGAUAUUGGAGUGCGUCGUGAUGCGGCUAGAGUCCCAGUUGAGAGUCUUGUUCGCCGCUGAUACUUACUACCAGCUGCAGCGGCCUGGUGGGUGUGGUGAUAUGGUAUGUAUUGUGUUAGCAGAUAUGUUUCUGAUUUUGGGAGUACGGCGUGAUGUGGUUAAAGUCCUAGUUGAGAGGCUUGUUGGUCAUCCUAUCUUUGAACCAUGCUAGUCUUGCGUCUGAUGAUAUUUGCCAGAGAAUAAUGAGUUUUUCACUCCAGAUUAUUUUUUUUGUUGGGUGCUGUCUUUUUUCUUUGUAUGAUUGUAUCAAGACGUGUCUCAUUACUCAACUGGGUCCUCAUAGAUGUAGAAUUAUGAUUUAAAAGAUGUACCCUGGAUAUUUAUAGGACUCGGAAAUGUGUGUUGAUAUUAUAUUACAAGGAUGCAGUUUAAUUAAAGUUCAACUUGAAAAUAUGCUUUAAUGGAGAUGAACUCAUGAAUAAAUAAAAAACACACGAGGAAACUUGAACUUCAUUAAGUGAAAUCUAAUCAUCCAUCCAAUUGCAUAUUGAUGGAACGUCAGACAAGCAAGUUACAGUUUUAUUCUAAGCCAAAGAAUGGUUUAUCUAAAUUUUUUGAUUACAUACGAUUUUUCUUAUCUCCUCUCUUGAUCAAUAACCUCAAAUCAAAAUUGCUUUUCCCAUGCUAUGUUAAAAGCUUGCUGUAUGUGUAUAAGUUUUUUUUUUUUUUUUUAAAAGCUGUAUUUGCAUGGUCAGUUAAGAAUAACUAAAAAUUAAUAUAAUUUUGGUAGAAGGAUAAAAUAGCAGAUGUAAAAGUGGAACUUGUGAAGAACAAAAGAGGGGUUUUAGUAACACCACUUUAGAAGAAAUCUGCUACGAAGCCCACUAGCAAACCAAACCAGUCCAAAAAAAUCUAUUAGCCCAAAGAACUGAAGAUAUCAAAUUGUGAAAAUUGAAACUGAAAAAGCGUUAAUAAAAUAAAAGAGACUCCUAGUUGAAACAGUGAAAGAGAGAUAAAGUGCACAUAAUUUUAUAUAUUUUUAGGAUCAGCAAGCAUGACAAACAGCUCACUGUUUAGUCAAGUAAAAUUUUGAAUUUGUUAUAAUAUUUUAAAUGAAAUCUCCUUUUAGUAAAACAAAAUAUUAAUAAUAAUAACAAAAAUAACGAGAACUAAAUUUCAAAUUAAAAUUUGAAAUUUAAAACUUGUAAAUUGUAAUUAAUAAACGAGUAAUGUAUUUUGCUUGUAAUUCUUAAAAACCCCUUGGUAGUUAGUAGUAAUUACCCUCACGCCAAAUACGUUAAUGUUCAAAAUAAAAUUAAAUUAAAGAUUAAAAAUUAAAAUUCCUUUCAGUUUCAGAUUAAAGAAAGCAAAAUAACGAAGGAAGAAGAGACCAGAGAGCCUUACAAGCAAAGGAAACGAUUAGCGCCUCUCUCUCUCUCUCUCUCUCUCUCUCUCUCUCUUGUUUCUUUGUGGUCUUACGAAGAGAGAGAAACAAGCACGUUGGGUGGAAUGGGUUUGUUCUCAAAUAAGAUCAAGAGAGAGGAGCUCAAAGCUGGCGAUCACAUUUAUUCUUGGCGAAACGCCUACGUUUAUGCCCAUCACGGUUGUUUCUUUUUUCUUUUCUUAAUAGAAACUGUUGUGAUUCUCUCCUAGUGCUAAUCCGUCAGUUUAAUCACUUAUCUAUUGGGUUACUUUUGGUUACAUUUGAAUUGCAUUUGAAUAAGCUAAUAGUUUAUUUUAAGUAGUUAAUUGUCAUUAGGGAGGUUAUGUUUGAAUUAUUUUUUAGUCAUUUUUCACUUCCAAGUUUUUAUCAAGAACUAAAUCUUGACCUUUAAUACUUUCUCAAGAUGUAUGAUGGCAGUUGGGUUUUCAUCAAUUUUGGAUUUUGAAAUUUACCCUGGGAAAUUUUAUGUUUGUUAAUUUUUAUUUUGGUUGACAUGUUUCUUAUAAUUAUUGGAAUUUAGUAGGUGAAGGCGUGAAGCUCUGACUUUAAGCUGUAUUGGCUUGGUGUUUUUAUGUGUAUUUUUACUCUUUAUUUCUAUGGAUUUCUUGCACUUAUGUUGAAUCAUAAACCUGCUUUGCCUUAGGUUUAUGUGAAAAAAUGUUGGUGGACUUGUUAUCUGUGUGUUAUUUUAGACUUGAUUGAGUAUUAUUCAGAUGGAUUAAGGGUACAAUUGUCAGUAUAGCAAGUUGUCUUCACAAUUGCAGUUUGGAAAAGUGUAUUGAUUAUUUGGAAGUAAAGAAGACUUUGAAUUUUGCUUGUUUCCGGUUUGGAGAAUUUUCCUUGUGAUAGAUAUUAGUCAAAACCAUGUUGUCAUUAAUGGCAUAGAUGAACUUCAGUGGUAUACGGACAUGCCUAUUUUCAAUUUUAAGAGUGCUAAAAUCUCAGUUUUAUCUCUUGCUCUCUAUGGGUUUCACACCCAUGUAGUUUGAAUUGUAUACGUGAAUAUCUAUUGUGUAUUUGAGAUCGUUGAACUGUGACCCAAAUAUGAAGUUUUGAAGUACUGAGUGACUCAAAUUAAAUAAUUGGUUAUGUCAAAUGAAAAGCAGCAACUGUAGAACACAAGCCACAAAGACUAAUGCUUCUUUUCCAAUUUAGACUAUUGAUUGAACUUAUCACAACUUUCUUAAUUUUGACAACGUUUGGUGGAGUCUAGUUGCACUUCUCCUAAAUCUAAUACUUAGAAGGAUUCUUUAUUUUCAUGAGAUGUUUCGUUCAAGUAAUUGUUGAUUCAGUCUUCCUACUGAACCUGAUAUGGACAGUGCAGAUAUUUUUCCUCAAACAGAAUAUACCUUCAUUGGUUGGUAAUUAGACUAUUCAAUUCACUUUCAUGGACAAACUUUUAAAUAUCAUGUGCAAGCUGCAUUGUAUGUACCAAUCAGCAAGUGAAAUUUUGAAAAACCUUUUAGCAUAGGAUUAUAAGAUUCAAUAAUAGUUUUGCCAACUUACACUUCCAAUAUGAACCAGGAGUAUAUGUUGGUGAUGGAAUGGUGAUCCAUUUCACUCGGGGAGCAGGUCAGGAAAUUGGCACUGGAACUGUUUUAGACCGUAUCAUUUUUAGUUCAUCUCCUGCUCGUCCUUCAGAUAAUCCAUGUCCCAGGUGUGGUGAUUACUGGAGGGAUGAUGGAGUCAUCCUAUCCUGCAUUGACUGUUUUCUUUACGGUGGGGAGCUUUACCUCUUUGAGUAUGAUGUCUCACCAGCUCUCUUUCUCGCCAAACCUCGAGGAGGGACUUGCACACUUGCCAAAUCUGAUCCACCAGAAGAUGUCGCCCAUCGUGCCAAUUUCCUCCUCCAGAAUGGUUUUGGUGUCUACCAUGUGUUCAGGAACAACUGUGAGGACUUUGCAAUCUACUGUAAAACAGGUCUUCUUGUGAUAACUAGCCUCAGCGUUGGUCGGAGUGGGCAGGCAGCAUCCUUGCUAGCUGCUGUAAGUGCUGUUGUUUCUUCACCGCUCCGAUACUUGACUACCAGCUGCACUGGCCUGGCAGCAGUGGGUUAUGGAAUGUAUUGUGUUAGCCGAUUGGUUUCUGAUAUUGGAGUACGACGUGAUGUGGCUAGAGUCCCCGUUGAGAGGCUUGUUGCCCAUCCUAGUUUAGACGAUGCAAGUCUGGCAUCUGAUAAUAACGCCAAAGAAGGAUGAUAUAUUGACUCCCAAUUAUCUUUUUGGAUGUGUCUUUUGUUGUUGUAUUAAGUGUCUCAUUGAUCAUUGGAUGUAUCUUUGUUGUACUAAGUGUCUCAUUGGUCAAUUGGGUCCUUCAAAACGUAGAAAUAUGCUCUUCAUUGUAAUGGGAUAUUUAUUUGUAUCCAUUAGCCUCACUCCUGACUUCUGUUUAAAACUAGAAUAUGAGUUUUUUUUUUUUUAAUAUUACAUUACAAUGAUACAGCUCAAUCAAAACCCAGCUUGAUAAUUUGCUCCAAUAAACGAACCCUUGAGAUGAGAAGGUGACAAUCUCCAAGUCUCAGGAGCGGUUACUGGUUGAGCUGUAAUUCACAGUUUCACAUACACAUAAUUUUUCUUGUAUCCUCUCUUAAUCAGUCACCUUAAUCGAAAAUUACUUCUUCUUAUUACCACUACUACACUAUCUUGCUAGUGGGACACCUUUUUUUCUAUUUUUUUUGCCAGAAUAUAGAUGUGUUUUUUUUUUUUUUUUUUGUUCAACUAAGUCUAAGAAGAUAAAAAUCCUAAUUUUUGUAACAUAAUAAAAAAAAUCAAAACUAAGAUAGAGAAAACAUUAAAGUGAAAUUUUGGAGCAAGGGAGGCUGAAACUCUUGGCAUCCGAGAGGCCCUUAGUUGGCUUAAAGGAUUGCAGUUUCCUUGUGUUAUUCUAGAGACGGAUUGCUCACGAGUGUUCCAAGCUUUAGUUGAGCAGUUUUCGAGGCCUAAUGGUUUUGGGUUAAUAAUUGAUGAAUGUCGAGCUUUACCUAUGUCUAUAGGAGAGUGCAAUUCUCAUUUGUGCGUCGAUCUGCGAACCUACCUGCUCACUUUAUUGCAAGAACAGGAGGUUCUAUGUCAGGUGCUCAAGAAUUAAAUUUUGUUCCACCUUUGAGGUUAUUAAACAGUUUGUAAUUCGCUUUGUUUAAUGAAAUUGCUUUCCUUAAAAAAAAAAAAACAUUAAAGUGAAAUUAGUUUUAGAUGUGACGUCCAAUAUCUAGCUUAAUUAAUUACAAAUAUAUUGUUAGACAUUUUUUGAAAAUAUUUUGAUGGGUCGUGUUAAAGGGUUUGGCCAACACAUGGCACGUUAUCCGUUUAAUAAUUCUUUCAUUAAUUUGAUAAAUGGAUUAAGAAUAUAAACUUUAAUACGAUAAAAAAAAUGUUGAUUCGAAAACAAUUCAUUUAAUAAUUUUGGAUUUUUUAUUUGUGUCACAUUAUAUUGAGAUAUUUUACCGAGAAUUGACCUAAGUGAGUUUUCCUAGAAUUCUACUUGUGAAAAUAUAUCAAUAGAAUCGUAAAAGGGAAUUCUGCCGGUUGAAAAAAAAAUGUAAAAGAGACAAUAAAAAUUUGAAAUCAUAACUGAAAUUAGCCGUCGUCCGUCACCACCCUAGCUCCGGUGUCACCGUUUGGUAGGCAAAGUGGUGUUGGGUACUCCUUCAGAGUUAUUGUUAUUAUUUUCAGCCUUUGGAGAUUUUAUUUUGUGGUUGUUUGUUUAUUUAAUUUUAUUUUUUUGGCUGAUGGGAAGCAAUUUAAACAAUUUAAAUAAGUUUGCUUUUUAAUUUGAGGAGUUUAUAUGUUAUGAUUGCACAUUGGUUGCGGCUAGGAAUUUGGUUCUUUCCUUGUUGCAUUCUUUUUUGCUAUGAUUCAAAACGUUUUCUCUUGUAGGAACUUUCAGAGAUAGAGAGAAAGGAAAAAAAAUUAAAGACGAUUGUAGUAAGUAGCCGACAGAUGGAGUCUCUUUCUUGCAUUACAGGUUACUUGGCUAUACUAUUAUACUCCUUCCAAAUUAUUAUUAUUAUUAUUAUUAUUAUUUGAUGUUUAGUUUGCUAAUAUAAUUGCUGGGUUUGUUAAUUCCCCAGACAAGAAUUCGUUUCUGCACUGUAAUAAGAAAAUAAAAAGAGAGAUUGUGAGUGAAGAUUAUACUUGCGUUCAUGAUCGCCUCAGUGAACUCUCUGAUCAUGUUCUUGUAAAUGUCUUAUCUUGCUUGACUAUACAAGAAGCAGCAAGGACCAGCAUACUAUCAAGUAGAUGGAGAUAUUUAUGGAAGUGGUUUACUGGUUGUUUGAACUUUCACAAUUCACUCACAACGGCGGCCCAUAAAUUUGAAUUGAGAGAUGAUAAGGUGUUUGAUGUAGAAAGGCGCAAGUUUGUGAGUUGGGUCAAUCAAGUUUUAAGAUCACUUCAAAGUCGCACCAUGGAAGAGUUAAGGAUUCGUUUUGAUGUAACCUCUGACGAUGAUAUACAUAAUUGGAUCAAAUUUGCAGUAGAAAAGAAAGUUGGAAGGCUUGAGUUGAACUUUAGAAGAUUUCUGGCUGGUCGUUGGGAAGUUGGCCAAUACAAUUUUCCACCACAUUUUGUUAGUUAUUCCAGCUUCUGUUCUCUUACAGAAUUAAGUUUGAUAAAUGUAGCUAUAACAGGAGAUGUUCUUGCACAUUUGCUGUCUUACUGCCCCCUUCUUGAGGUUUUAAGUGUUAUUCAAUCAGUAUGUCUGAAGCAUCUUAAAGUUUCUGGUUCGUUACUGAAGCUGAAGUACUUAAAGUUAGGUUAUUUGGAGUGUCUUGAAAUUGAUGCCCCGAAUCUCAUAUCUUUUGAAUUUAACGGACCAGCAAAGCCUAUUUGUUUAGGAAAAGUUCGUCUUGUUGAGGUAUCUUUUGGUGGCUCUUUUAGCAACUACAUCAUGAAAAACCUAUGCUGGCUUUCAAGUUUUCUUGUGCGAUUGCAUACUCUUAAAUUGAACCUAGCUUUGCCAGUAAGUGUGCCUUACCUUUAUAUUCACUGCAAUUGUCAUUGAUUCUUUGGCCUUAAAAUUUUGUUGGUGUUGAUGUGUUUUUGUUUCUUAUUUUAUCAAGUGGAAGGUGUAUCCAGUACCUGAGGUGGCCGUCUAUUAUAAUCUUCCUGAGUUAUAUAAUCUGAAGCAUUUGGAGAUGGAAAUAGAUUUAUUAGAUGAUGAUCACCUCCUUCCUUGUGCAUCUUUCUUGAAUGCAGCUACUUCAUUAUAUAAGUUUACACUGAAGGUAAUUUUUUUCUUGAUUUCUUGAUGAAUAAUGUUUUUCAUAACAUAGAUGUGCUUUUAGUUUUAAUGGUGCAGAAUAUAAUCAUUGCGUUUAUAUUUUGGGAAUAUUUUGUUGACAUGACUGUCUUUGCCCUUGGUCUCAGUUAUAUGAUGUAAAGCCAUUUGCUGAAUGGGUACAGACUAUCAAGGAUCACAUAUAUUCAAGUCUUAGUGAAUUAAUAAGCAUUAGGGAGUUGGAAGUGGUAGGAUUGGAAGGGUGUGGAGCUGAUACGGAUUUUGUGAUAUGUUUGAUUGAGAAUGCUGAACUGUUGGAGAAGAUAAUUAUUGAUCCUUGUAAAACAUGGAUUCUGGGAACUCCUUAUGAAUCUAGUUACAGGGAAUGUGCUGAAUAUCAAUCCAACAGAAGGCAAGCUAUUCAGUUGGCAGCAAGACUUCCUUUAUGGGAAUUUGUCAUACUGUAGAUAAAUAAAUUAUUGUGAAUUAUUGAUUGGAGUGCGAUCUGUCGUUAUUGGUAAUUUUUAUCAUUAGAUUGGAAAUGAACAAAACCCCAUUGUUUUCAUUUUCUAGUUACUGCUAUUAACGGAAUUAAUGCUGAGCAUGGUACUUUCUAAUGGUAAGUUGAUGAAAGUGUCACAAUAUUUAUUAUUUAAUUUGCUUUUACGAGUGCUAUAUGUAUAUAUAUAUAUAGCUAAGCCGCACGGUUUAAUAGCAUUAAUAAUUAUUAUAUUGUUAAAUUACUCGGGUUAAUAUUUUUUCGGACUUCAACAAAAUCUAAAAUUCUAUAUUAGAAUAUUUCUCUCUCUAUAUAUAUAUAUAUAUAUAUGAAGCAGAGGAAAAGAGAAGAAGAAACAUUUGCUUAGUCUGUAUAGUAGUCUGUAUAGUAGCCCGCGUAAAGUCAAAAACUGCAGAACAUCACAAUUUCAAAUUUAACACUCAAACUAAAAUGUAGUUAGAAAAUUUCAUAGAAUACUAAAACUGGUUUCAAAAAUUGAGCUGAAGAUGUAAUCUGAGACAAUAUUUGGAUGGUCAGUCUAGCACAAUUCUCUGACCGCCGCAAAGACUUCAGUAGUGAACAGACAUGCCUAUUUUCAAUUUUAAGAGUGCUAAAAUCUCAGUUUUAUCUCUCUUCCUUUCUAAAGGUUUUACGUUUUACACCGAUGUAGUUUAAAUUUCACAUGUGAAUAUCUAUUUUGUAUCUGAGAUCGUUGAACUGUGACCCAAAUAUGAAGUUUCGAAAUACUGAGUGAUUCAAAUUAAAUAAUUGGUUAUGUCAAAUGAAAGGCGGCAACCGUAGAACACAAGCCACAAAGGCUGAUGCUUCUUUUCCAAUCUAGACUAUAUAUUGAACUUAUCACAACUUUCCUAAUUUUGACAACUUUUGGUGGAGUCUAGUUGCACUGCUCCUAAAUCUAAUACUUAGAAGGAUUCUUUAAUUCCAUGAGAUGCUUUGUUCAAGUAAUUUUUUAUUAGUCUUCCUACUGAACCUGAUAUGGACAGUGCAUAUAUUUUUCCUCAAACAUAAUAUACCUUCAUUGGUUGGUAAUUAGACUAUUCAAUUCACUUUCAUAGGCAAACUUUUAAAUAUCAUGUGCAAGCUGCGUUGUAUAUACCAAUCAGCAAGUGAAAAUUUGAAAAACCUUUUAGCAUAGAAUUAUAAGAUUCAAUAAUAAUUUUGCUAACUUACGCUUCCAAUAUGAACCAGGAGUAUACGUCGGUGAUGGAAUGGUGAUCCAUUUCACUCGGGAAGCAGGUCAGGAAAUUGGCACUGGAACUGUUUUAGACCGUAUCAUUUUUAGUUCAUCUCCUGCUCGUCCUUCAGAUAAUCCAUGUCCCAGGUGUGGCGAUUACUGGAGGGAUGACGGAGUCAUCCUAUCCUGCAUUGACUGUUUUCUUUACGGUGGUGAGCUUUACCUCUUUGAGUAUGAUGUCUCACCAGCUCUCUUUCUCGCCAAACCUCGAGGAGGGACUUGCACACUUGCCAAAUCUGAUCCACCAGAAGAUGUCGUCCAUCGUGCCAAUUUCCUCCUCCAGAAUGGUUUUGGUGUCUACCAUGUGUUCAAUAACAACUGUGAGGACUUUGCAAUCUACUGUAAAACAGGUCUUCUUGUGAUAACUAGCCUCAGCGUUGGUCGGAGUGGGCAGGCAGCGUCCUUGCUAGCCGCUGUAAGUGCUGUUGUUUCUUCACCACUCCGAUACUUGACUACCAGCUGCACUGGCCUGGCAGCAGUGGGUUAUGGUAUGUAUUGUGCUAGCGGAUUGGUUUCUGAUAUUGGAGUACGACGUGAUGUGGCUAAAGUCCCCGUUGAGAGGCUUGUUGCUCAUCCUAGCUUAGACGAUGCAAGUCUGGCAUCUGAUAGUAACGCCAAAGAAGGAUGAUAUAUUGACUCCCAAUUAUCUUUUGGGAUGUUUCUUUUGUUGUUGUAUUAAGUGUCUUGUUGAUCAUUGGAUGUAUCUUUUGUUGUUGUACCAAGUGUCUCAUUGCUUGGGUCCUCGAAAAUGUAGAAAUAUGCUCUUCAUUGUAAUGGGAUAUUUAUUUGUAUUCAGUAGCCUCACUCCUGACUACUAUAUAAAACUAGAAUAUGUGUUUUUUAUUUUUAAUAUUACAUUACAAUGGUACAGCUCAAUUAAAACCCAGCUUGAUCAUUUGCUCAAAUGAAGGAGAGUUAUAAAUAUAAAUGAACCCUUGAGAUGAGAAGGUGACCAUCUCCCAUCUCAGAGUGGCUACUGGUUGAGCUCUAUUCACAAAUUCACAUACACGUAUAAUUUUACUUGUCUGCUCUCUUAAUCAAUCACCUUAAUCCAAAAAUUACUUUUCUUCUUCUUCUUCUUAUUACGACACUGUCUUGCUAUUGGGACACUUUUUUCUUUUUUCUUUUUUUUCCUUCGAAUAUAAACGCCUUUUUUUUUCUUUUUUUUUGUGGUUCAACUAAUAUAAGAAGAUGAAAAUCCUAACUUUUUUAACAUAAUAAAAAAAAUUAAAACUGAAAUAGAGAAAACGUUAAAGUGAUAUAUAUAUAUAUAUAUAUAAAUGUAUGUAUGUGUGUAUAAAAAGUAGUUUAAGAUGUCAUGUACAAUAUUUAACUUAAUUAAUUACAAAUAUAUUGCUAGAUGUGUUUCGAAAAUAUUUUAAUAGGUCAUGUUAAAGGGUUUGAAUUGACAUUACACGAUGGUUCGUUUUAUAAUUCUGUCAUUAAUAUGAAAAAAUAGAUCAAGAAUUUAAACUUUAAUAAGAUAAAAGAAAAAUGGUGUUAACUCGAAUAUAAUUCAUUUAAUAAUCUUAUUAAAUUUAAUAACUCAACUUUAUUUAUUUGUGGUGUAUUUAUAUCUAGAUAUUUAACCUAGAAUUGACCUAAAUGAGUUUCACUAGAAUUCUACUUGUGAAUAUAUCAAUAGAAUCGUACAAGGAGAAUUCAACCGGUAAAUAUAUAAGUAGAAAUACCAGAUUAAAAAAAAGAAAGUUAAAAGUAAGAAAAAAAUGUAAAAGAGAGACUAAGGCCAGUUUGGGAUUACGGUUGCUGAUUAAAUAAGUUACUUAUGUUAUGCGGAUGCAAUAAGCAGCUAAUUAAAAAAGUAACUUGUUUUGAUAAACUGUGUUGUUGCGAUUACUGUGAGUUUGAAAAGUAGUGUACAUACGUUUGGUAAAUUUUAUUACAAAUGUAUUAUUUUAUCAUAUAAUGACCAAAAUAUACGUAAGUUUAAAUUACCUUUUAUUUUUUUGAAGUAUAUUUAAUAAUGUUUAGAUAUGCUAUUUUCUUUUUAAAACACGUAAAAUUAUAUUAUGAGAAAAAAACUUAAUAAUUUAUUAUAUAAAAUAUGAUAAAAAUUCAUACUAAUAUAUAAUUCACAUAAAAUAAAAAAGUAAUAUACAUUACUUUCACAUUAAACUUGUUGUAAUAAAUACAAUGACUAUAGAAAAAAUAUAAAUAGAUUGAAUGUUAAAAGCCAUGGUUAUGAAAUUGAUUUUAAAAGUUAUGGUUAAUUUUCAUGUGAAAUUGUUCAUAGUUCAAAAAAAUUUAUAUAAUUAUAUGCAAGUCUUUUUUAAUCUUAUAAUAGAAAAUACAAGUAUAAGAUAAAAAAGAUUUUAAAAGUUAUGGUUAAUUUUCAUGUGAAAUUGUUCAUAGUUCAAAAAAAUUUAUAUAAUUAUAUGCAAGUCUUUUUUAAUCUUAUAAUAGAAAAUACAAGUAUAAGAUAAAAAAGGAGAUUGCCAAUUUCCUCCCUACAGUAAUCAACAUAUACCAUUUCCCCCCUGCUGUUUUUAUAAUGGCCAAAAACCUCCCUGAUAACAUAAGUUUACAAUAUUACCCUUAUUGUCAACUACUCUUUUAUUUAUAUUUAUUAUAAAUUAAAUAAAUCACAUGAAUAUAAACUAAAUAAAAAAUUAAGCAUUAAAAACAAGAAAUAUAUGUUUUGAUAUGAGAAAAAAAUUAACAAUAAAAUUUUUUCUUGUACUUAUUUAUUUUGUGAAAAUUUUCUUAUAAUAAAUAUAUAAGAAAGUUAUUAUAAAAUGAUAAAAAAAUUAUUAUAAGAAAAUUUGAAUGACAAAUAAAAAUUUAUUAUAAGAUAAAUAAUAAAAUAUUUUGCCUAUACUUUUUACAUUUAAUUUUAAAAUAUUACAAAAUGUUUAUUAUAAGAAAAUGUUCACAAAAUAAAUAAUUAAAAAAAAUUAUUAUUAAUUUUUUUGCUCAUAUCAAAAUAUAUAUUUCUUGUUUUUAAUACUUGAUUUUUUUUAUUUAGUUUCUAUUCAUGUAAUUUAUUUAAUUUAUAAUAAAUGUAAAUAAAAAAGUAAUUAAAAAUAAGGGUAAUAUUGUAAACUUAUGCUGUCAGGGGGUUUUUUGGCCAUUAUAAAAACAGUAGGGGGGUAAAUGGUAUAUGUUAAUUACUACAGGGGGGAAGUGGCAAUCCCCCUAUAAAAAAUAUGAACUUACUUGAUCAAAACUUUAAUAUUGGAGAGAAUAUAUAGCAGUUGGAGUGGUAAUUUGAUUGUGGUGGUAAUAUGAUAUCUAAUGGCAUAUAUAUUAGAGUGUAUGAAAAAUAUAACAUAAUUAUUUUUGUUAAAAUAUUAAUUAAGAUUACAAUAGGAACAAUAAAAAGAUAUGGUAGCCUAUUUAAUAAGCUAUUUAUGAAAAAUAACCCCCUACCUACUUUUAAAAGCUACUAUCAAAAUAUAACAUAAUUAUUUUUGUUAAAAUAUUAAUUAAGAUUACAAUAGGAACAAUAAAAAGAUAUGGUAGCCUAUUUAAUAAGCUAUUUAUGAAAAAUAACCCCCUACCUACUUUUAAAAGCUACUAUCAAAAUAUAACAUAAUUAUUUUUGUUAAAAUAUUAAUUAAGAUUACAAUAGGAACAAUAAAAAGAUAUGGUAGCCUAUUUAAUAAGCUAUUUAUGAAAAAUAACCCCCUACCUACUUUUAAAAGCUACUAUCAAAAUAUAACAUAAUUAUUUUUGUUAAAAUAUUAAUUAAGAUUACAAUAGGAACAAUAAAAAGAUAUGGUAGCCUAUUUAAUAAGCUAUUUAUGAAAAAUAAUCACCUACCUACUUUUAAAAGCUACUGUCAAAAUGGAGAAAAUUAUGAAAUAAACAGUUUUUACUAAAUUUACCAAACAUUAUUUUUAUCACAAAUUAUGAAAUAAACAACUUAUUUAGUUUCAACCUUAAUCUCAAACUGGCCUAAGAAAUUGAAAAUAAAACUGAAAUUAGCCAUCAUCUGUCACCUAGCUCCGAGGCCACCGUUUGGGCACUCCUUAAGAGUUAUAAUAAUUAUUAUUAUUUUCAGCCUUUUGAGAUUUUAGAUUAUGGUUGUUUAUUUAUUUAAUUGGACUUUUUGGCUAAUGGUCAGCAAUUUAAACAAUUUAAAUAAGUUUGCUUUUAAUUUGAGGAGUUUAUGUGUUAUGAUUAAUAAUUGAUUAUAGAUAGGAAUUUGAUUCUUUCCUUUUUGUUUUCCGAUUCAAAAUAUAUUCAUUAACGUUCUGUGUUUUCCUGUGUGAACUUUUAGAGAGAGAGGGAGAAAAAAUGAAAGACAAUUGUAGUAAGUAGCCCACAUAUAGAGUCUUUUUCUUGCAUUGCAAGUUAAUUGGCUCUAAUAUUAUGCCCUUUCCAAAUUAAAUUAUAUUUUUUUAAUGUUUCUUUCCUAACGUAAUUUUCGGGUUUUGGUUAAUUCACCCAAAUAGGAGUUCGCUUCUGCAUUGUAAUAAGAAAAUAAAAAUAGACUUAAUAAGUGCGUAGAACAACUGCCAUUGGACUCUUCUAACUUAACCAAGGUCCUCGGUUUGAGACUUGGAAUGCAACUGCGUUAAAUACUUGUUGAGCCUUAGUGGUCUUACCUGACUCAAAUUUAGAUUAGUCGGGGCCCAAUGUAGUUAUCGUGAUAAACAAGUUAUCGUGAAUUAUUGGCUAGAGUGAGAUAUGUCAUUAUUCGUAAUUCUUAUCAUUAGACUGGAAAUGAAAGAAACCCCCCAUUGUUUUCAUUUUUUGAUUAUUGUUAAUAAUGAAAUUAAUGCUAAGCAAAGUACUUUCUAAUGAUAAGUUGAUAUAAGUGUCACAAUAUUUAUUUUAUUGUUUAAUUUGUUUUUACGAGCACUAUACAUACAUAUACAUAUACAUACUUACAUACAUACAUACAUAUAUAUAUAUAUAUAUAUAGUAUUAAAUAAUUACACUAUUAAGUCGCACACUAUUAAAUCUCACGAUUUAAUAAAUUUUCUAGAUUUUAGUAUAUAUAUAUAUAUAUAUAUAUAUAUAUAUUUCAUAAUCUUUGUCCUCAAAAGUAGACUCGCAUGAAGUCAAAAACCGCAGAACAUCACAAUUUUGAAUGGAACACUUAAACUGAAAUACAAUUAGAAAAUUUCAUAGAAUACUAAAAUUGAUUUAAAUCCACCAACAAAGAAAUAUUUGGACAUUAGAACUCACAUUAACUAAAAGUUGUAAUCUGAAUGUAACAAUAUUUUGAAUGGUCAAUUUAGCACAGUUCUCUAAUUGCCGCAAAGACAUCAUCUAUUUGUAGAAAUUUUUAACAAGAUCAUCAGGUCAAAUUUUUGGGGCCUCUUCCCAUGAAGAUUUCACCACAGCAGCAGCAAUGCAACCUUUAUUUCUCAUAUGUGUCAAAGUAUUCUUCAUAUUUUUCUUCACACCACGACUUGUCUCAUGACGUAUUAUCAGUUUAAGCUCUGUGUACUUUAACAUUCUCACACUUGGAGAUUUGAUUAAGAAUCAAUCAAUCUUUACACCAUUAUUUCUGCUUCGCCAUUGUUAUGUUGCUUAUGUUUCUGCUAGACCACAAGAGAUUUACUCCAUACAAACUUGUUAGCAUUUAUUGGCUUGGUCAAAACAUCUAUUAAGUUUUUCUUAGUAUGGAUUUUCCGCAAAUCCACUCUUUCAUUUUCCACACUAGAUAACAUUUCAUCAACUAACAUUAAAUGUAGACCAAUAAUUACAGUUAUGUCCAUCUCAUUCCACUUGGCAUCAUCAGUUAUCUCCUUGAGCUUUUCUCUCAUUGUUGCCAAGCAAUUAUUUUUUCUCAAAAUAAUCUUUAUCUUCAUUUUCCAUAAUAAAUAAUUGUUUUGCCACCAUUAUUUUUCACCAUGAACUGUCUUUAUUAGGUUCGACUCCUACCAUUUUACGUGAACAGUAAGGUAUACAUAAACAACAAUGUAUAUGUGAAUGGUAUAGUAUACGUGAAUAGAGACAUGUACGUGAAUAGUAAGGUUUACAUGAAUAGUAAUGUAUACGUGAAGGUAUAGUAUACAUGAAAAAUAUUGUAUACGUGAAUAACGUCAUGUACGUGAACAAUACCUCAACUCUAAAAAAUAUAAUGAAUAGCUUUGAUACCAGUGUUAGGAAAUUGAUGGGUGAAGUAGGGCCACAGCUAUAAUGAAAUUGAAGAAAAAUGAAGAAAAAACACAUAAAGAGGACACAAAAAUUUACGUGGUUCGACUUUUAGCAUAUGUCUAUAGGUGAAGACAUAAGGAAAAAUUUUACUAGUAAAAAAAAGUUAUAAAUAUUGCAGUAUUUUGUCUGACCACCCAAAACCCUAAUGCAGUCAUACUCUUAAAUCGCUAGAGAAAGAAAAAUCAAGAGUUAAGUGAAAAAAAAACUAAGAGUUCUAAUUCAUUGCUGACUUUGUUAAAUUCAAGCAUCAUAUUUGGUGCUGACUUUAACACAAUAAACCUCUCUCGAGUAAUUUCUUCUUCGUCACUACUAAUUUCUUCGGUGAGUUUUCGUAUUUCAUCUCUCAAUUCAUCUACUUUUGCUUCUAAAGUGACCAUCUGCUCCAGCUACGCUAAGGGGGUAGUCACAAUGAGAAUAAUAACUACCCCCAACCAAAUUGCAAUUUGUCUUUUGGACACCACUUUAGGAGCCGUUGUAGCAUUGUGUGAGCCUUCAGUUUUAGCCAACAUGCGGGAGUCUUAAGUAGUUUCACUGCCUUCUUUAGCAGCAGUUAGAAACUUUUCACUAGUGUAAUUAUCCAUGAGAAAUGAACUGGGUUCAGUGCUAUCUUUGGGGGCAGGGGUGACUUCUUUGCUUUCUUAAGCAACAACAUGUGUUUCCUUAACAUUUUCAUUGAUAGUUACUGGAUUUCGAAUGUCAUUCAUAGCUACAUCCCUCUUAUCUUCUUUUGCUCCUGAAAAGAAUUUUUGUUGUUGCUUAAGAUUUUCACUUUAAGAGCCAUUGUAGCAUUGUGUGAGCCUUCAGUUUUAGCCAACAGGCGGGAGUCUUCAGUAGUUUCACUGCCUUCUUUAGCAGCAGCUAGAAACUUUUCACUAGUAUAAUUGUCCUUGAGAAAUGAACUGGGUUCAGUGCUAUCUUUGGGGGCAGGGGUGACUUCUUUGCUUUCUUAAGCAACAACAUGUGUUUCCUUAACAUUUUCAUUGAUAGUUACUGGAUUUCGAAUGUCAUUCAUAGCUACAUCCCUCUUAUCUUCUUUUGCUUCUGAAAAGAUUUUUUGUCCAUUAUUUGCUCACAUUUUAAUCAAGUUGCACAUGUAAAUGAAGUUUGACCAUAGAAUAUAAAAUAUCCAAACAAUUCAAAGACAAUUUAUUUCUUAGUGUGAUUAAGAAACAUAGCCAAGUCAAAGUUAAUUAACAUGUAAAAUAGAGCACGAGUUAUGGAGCUCAAUUUUGUCGCAAAGAGUAAUAAAUGAUUUAAGUUUCGAGGUGAAAUCAAAAUGAAAGUACAAGCCAUAUUUAAACUUGACUCUAUUGUAUCUAUUCAGUUUGAGCUAUUAAAUUUUGGAGCUCAAUAUUGUAGCAAAGGUAUUAUUAUUGUAACAAAAAAAAAUACAAAGUUGAAAGUGUCACACUACUACACUAGAGAUGUCUUGAGAUAAUUUUUAAAAUAUAAGGAUUAAAUGAACACUUAGUUCAAAAUAUAAUCACUAAAAGGGCAUUUACCCUUAACAUUGCAUUAAAUCUCAAAUUUAUUUAUUUUAUACUUCAUUACAAUAUUAUUUAAUUUAUGUUCUAUAUAUCUCAAAUUUAAUAUGUCUUAAUUAUGAUAGAAUUAAAUUAAGGCAAUCUAUAUUAAUUAUUUAAUUUUUGCAAAGUAAUAUUUGAGGGUACAACCUCGUUACACUAAUUUAUAGGUGAGGUUAUUUGCACUCUAAAAUUUACUCUAAACACCUUAUUAGUUUACACGCUCGUUCAAUAAAUUUUAAUGAAUAAUUUUUACUCUGCACAUAUUUUCUAAUGCCACAAUUAUCCUUCAUUAAGAUUAUUCCAUUAACUUAUUAUUUUUUCUUACGCCCAUGAGACUAGCAGCAGUCUCACCAUAUAAUCCGAGCACCAAACAUCAAUGAAUAAAAGAAUUGCCAUGAAAAAUAGCAGUGUCGCUUUUAACAUCAUUAGAUUGAUUAAUAUUGAGAGCAACAAUUUAUUGUGUGGGGAAAAGGAACGGAGUACAGAUGUGAGAAAUGCGGGUUUCGGAUCAAGACUCUGUUUGUGCAAUACUCACCCGGAAACAAUUCGUCUCAUGAAAUGUUAAUUUAUUUUCUUGCUUUCCAUUUUUCCCUUAAAAUUUAAAUUUUCUAUUUUACAUUUAAUUUUAUAACAACCUUCCCACAUGAGAAUUGCAGAGCAAUGUUAAACGACUACAUUGAAUGUGAAAUCAUGGUAAAUAAUAAUAAUAAUAAUAAUAAUAAUAAUAAUAAGGGAUAUUAUCACUUGUAUACCCUUAGGUACUCCAUUAUCAAAUUUACUACAAUACUUUGAAGAUAUAUCAGUCGUCCACCCUAAGUUGACAAAAUGUAUCUACUGUCCAUUAAACCGUUAGUUGCCGUUUAAAUAUGAUGACGCCAGAGGGACAAUCUAGUAUUUUCAUAUGAUACAAGUGAUAAUUUAAAUGUAUACAAGUGAUAAUAAGAGAAUUUAAGAGUAUACAAGUGAUAAUUUUCCUUUAUUUUAAUUUAAGUUUCAAGGGUAAAAUCUUCCUUUAUUUUCAAUUGAUUCAUGCGUGAGUGUUUUGUAACGGAAGACAAGCUUUUGCGCAACAUUUUCAGCUCAUCUUCUGGCUUCAGCGCAGUUGCUGAAGAAAUUUGUAGUGCACUAUUACACAUUAAAUUCCGGUUUCUAUACAAAUUAUAGGAUAUAACACAUAAUCAUUUUAACUAUAACUCAUUUAAAUAAUCUCUCCUCAACAAUAGUAUGAAUUAAUUUUACAUUAAAGCACUUGAGAUAUCAGGCUCCCUUUAAUUAAGGAAAUAAGAUAUAAAUUCUCUCUCUCCAAAUCUCUUUAUAUUCCUUAAGCAACCUUCCAUGAGCACUAAAGAUAACCUCAAAACAUAGUAGUCAUUUUUCACAACUUCAAAGUGCAGUUACAACUAUGAAAAAUCGAAAGAGUUUUGUGCACAAUGACAUACAGACAGACAUAAAUGUCGAAGUAAAUUGACCUAUUCCUCUGAUUUACUGUAAUUCAUAAGGAAUAAAACCCAAACCUAAAUAUCUAUUACACACGGUCUAAUAAGGCCAUAAAUCAAUUCCACCAGGCUUCUUGACAAGGAUCUGAUUGUAUUCAGGCCUUGAAAUCUGCACAGAAUUUGUCAAAUCAGUAGUAAUUCGUAGCUUACACAAAUACUGAGAAAUCCAAGCAAUUCAUGUUGUAAUCAGAGUCACAAGAGCUAUUAAAAUGCUCUAUAGAAGCUAAUGAUGACUGGAAUUCAAGACGCAAGCAAAUCAAACGCUAGAAGCGUACUUCCUAGACUGUGAGAAAACAACAUGAAGGAAUUAAGAAUGGAAGUCAGAUUUUGGCCUGCCAGGUUAAUACAAACAAAAUGGAAUUACACCUCCAAAUCAUUGAUAAGAAUCAUAUUGUGCACGUGUGCCAUGUUUCUCAGCAAUUUAAUGCUCUUGGGUUCAAACUAUAGCUGCUAAAGAGCAUAAAACAAACAAGCCAAUGAAUUGGAUGCUCUUCUACAUUUCCUAAUUACCAUGUACAGAGAAUAAGUGGAUAAUUGAUGCAUUCCAAGAGAAUAAUGAAGCAAAAAUUGUACAGAAUGUCUAUGCAUAGUUUUAUGUUAUCUGAUAAUGGAACACAUUUUAACUAACAAAUAACAAUUUUGCAUCUCACACAAGAUCAGACGCCAUUCACAAAUAUCAAAAUUCUUCUCAACCGGCACAAGCAAUAAAGUUUACCCAUCUUCGAAAAGUUCAAAGUAAUUCCUCAAUACAUCAAGCCCAAGACAUUCAAACGAUAACUACUACAUAAUAAUCCCAGCGGUAUCAACACUUUAUGGAGUCAGAAUCAAAUCACAAUCACUUGCAAAAAAUUCAGGACAGGAUUACAAACACACACUGUAAUCUGAUUCAAUAUAUGUUACUGUAUCUGCUACAAUCUUAUUCAAUAAAUGUUUCUGUAUUAUCUCCCAAUGAUACACAAGUCAACCGUGUUAAUUCUCUUUUUUUUUUCAACACAUAAGUCACCCAUCUCAGUUAUCAAUACCUUUUACAUGAAAAUUCUAAAUCUGUUUUUUUUUUCCCUUUCUUUACAAUAUAAAAAAAUAAAGAAUCGAGAGUGACGUACGAGAUCUUUGAAGACAAUAAAAGUGAUGACGAGGAAGAGAAAGAAGAGUAUCUCGAAUUCCGCCAAUCUUACGAACGCAAACACCGCACUCACCGCUCUGCUAAACGCCGAUUCAUCCUUGUUUCUAGUCCCCGCUCGCUUUUCUCGUCCCAUUUUCCGAUUCCGGUCAAGAAGAAUUUUCCAAAGCUGCUUGCUUUUUAUUUUUCUAACAAAAAUUUUCUUGCCUCUUUCAUUUCUCGAUUCUCAUUCAUCGUUGUCAUUUUUUUCCCUUGGGCCUUCUUAAUAUUUGGGCUUUUAGUUGGGCCUAAUAAGUUAGGUGUUCUUAGAAAACUUAUCUAGUGUUUUCAGUAUCAGCUAAAAAGAUUCAAUUGAAGAAGAUAGCCGUUAGCGGAGAAAUUUGAAUCCCACUAAAUAAAUUAAUAAAUUAAUUAUAAUAUUGCAUUUAAGUAACAGUAGAAACAAAUCGGGGUUAGUGAGGGACUGAGGGGAAGCAGAAUUCAGAACAGAGACAAAACGGCAGCGAUUAGUUUCGUUUCGUUUCUCAUAUAAGCUAACGGCUAUUCUUUCUCUCUAACGGACACACGUGCUUUGCCUGGGACCGCUCAAAAUUUGAAUUCCUCUCUCUCUUUUUCUUAUUUGAAAUUGACUUCUCGAACAACGUACCCCUCUCUCUAUUCUUAUCUCUUCGCAUUUAACUCGUUAACGCACUCAUUCCAUAUUACACGCUCGCGUUUCAAAUUCUUUGUUCUUUUGGCCCGUUCCAAAUGGGUAGUUGUUUGAGCAAGAAGAAAGAUUCUUCUCCUUCGUCGUCUUCAGUUGCAGAUGCUACGGUUCCGGUUCCGGCUCCGGUUAAAGCAUCUACGGUGACGGUAGAUCCGAGGAAGUGUGAUAGCACUCAAACCCAGAAAGAAUUACCGAAGCAAGAAACCAAAGAGGAAGUUAGAGAAGAGGAAGGGUUCGUGAAGAAAGAAAUAUUCGUCAUAAAACACAGAAAGAGCCACGACAAACGCGCAGUUAAUGAAGAAAUUGUUGUAAAUGCAGCGGAAACUGUAAAGGAAAAGGACGAAAUUGGAAGCAGCUUCAGCAACGGCGCCGUACGGACGUCGAGUUGCACGAAAGAGGAAGUGGAUGCGAUUCUGAUACAAUGCGGGAGGCUUAGCAGGAGCAAUUCGUCUGGGAAGACGGCGUCGUCAGCUAGAAAGUACUCCGGGUCGAAGAGGAGUUAUGACUUUGAUCAGAACGAGGGUGGAUUUGAGCGCGAUGGGGGUGACGACAGCGGUGAUACCGUUAAGAAGAAAGGGAGUGAUGAGGAGGAGCAAAACCAGAGGCAGCAUAGACAGCGGCACCGGCAAUCAAGCAGGCAGUCGCCGAAUGCACGGAGGCGGACGCCGAGUCGAGAAAGAGAUCAGCAAAGGUCGGGGAGUAGAGAGAGAGGCAGCAGUAGUGGCAGCGGGAGACGAGUCAGCAGAUCCCCCGGUAGAAGAUCGGAGAACAAUUCAGCAACUGCAACUGCAAAUGCUAGUGCUAAUGCUAAUAGGCCUGGGAAAAUGGUAUCGGUGCCUGCCACUGUCGCUGUAGAACCUGCAACGGCGUCGAAUUCUAGUGGCGUCAAGAGGAUUUCUGUGAAGAGAAACGUUGGUGAGGCGGCUGGAGCUGUGGGUUCGAGGAUGGCUGCAUCGCCUCGUUCCAAGUCUCCGGCGAGGGUAAAUGGUAAUAAUGUGAAGGAGCAGCAGCAUCCUUCGCUUAGCCGCAGCUCUUCGAGGAAGGGUGAGCAGCAUUCUCCUUACAGAAGAAACCCUUCGAGUGAAAUCGACCACCCCAACUCUACAAGGAAAGCCGAGCAUUCUCCUUAUAGAAGAAACCCUUUGAGUGAAAUUGAUCCCAACUCCCUCCAGUACCCGCAAUCAGCUUGCAACAACAAGGCUUCGAAUGUUAUUACCAACAGAGUUCGUAACAAAAGCAGAGAUUUUGAGGGAGAAGGUGUUUUUGUAAGGGAUUCCUCAGCUAACGUUCUGUAUCAGGUACUAUUAUAAACUUUUCUCUCCUUAGAAGUAUUAGAUAUACGCAAGCAUAAUUUCUUCUCUUACAGGCCAGUAACACUAUCUGUACCGGCUACCAAGUUAAAGUUUCCUUAUUAUGAAUUUGUUAGCUAACAACUUAUUACUGCUGAAAUGUGUACAUAGUUUUAAAUAUGGGAUUCACCAUUUUUCGUUGAUAUUAACUUACCUCAUGGAUAUUUAUGACUUAUGUAGGCUCCAAUUCACAAGCCAAAUGCCGAAAAUAUUGCUCAGGGAACUAAUAAUCACAAAUCCAGUUGCAGAGGUACCACCCUGAACAACAAGGUUACAGGUGCAAAUAUCACAGAAAAGGAGCAACGACAGAUUCUGGAAGAAGAUAAAGCUCAGCUGCCGAUGACAGCCAAUGCAGCAGUGGUAACUGAAAGCCAAAAACCUCAAACUUUAACAAGAACCAGGUCGUCUAGGCGAUCCAGAGACCUCGAUCUCGACCUGAAUCCCGAAACUUUGCUGAAUCCUACACCAUCAUACACUGCGUUACUGCUUGAAGACAUCCAGAACUUUCAUCAGAAAAGCACUCCUUCGGUUUCACUCCCAGCUUGUGUCACAAAAGCCUGCUCCAUCCUCGAAGCAGUUGCUGACCUCAACUCCACCACAAGCUCCAAUCUGUCAUGUGCAUUUUCUGAGGACAGGAAACCCCCAUCAGCUGAUCAGUCUAACAACAAAAAUGCAUACAACUUUUCUGCUGGGGUUAAUCUUGUUGGGAAGAAAAUGACAGAGGCUAAAGACCCUUUUGUCGAAUCUGAGGUUCUUGCAGAUGAUGACCUGAUGGAGCCAAGCUUUCAUAGGUAUGUGACUGUGAGGAGAGGCGGCAGUGAAUUAGGAGGAGUAGAUAUGGAUGGGCAAGAAUCAUCAGGCAGUAACAGCUUUGUGGGCUGCACUACUCAACAGAACUGGACAUCUUCAUCUUCGUGGGAACCCAAUUCAGCCGAUUCAACAGAUCGUUGGACAUCAAGAUCAAACAUGAAAGAGGAGGAUCAGAGUCCACUAGGUUUCCAGAGACAAGCCAUGUCUGAAGCUGCAGGCUGUGAAGCAACUAAGAACAGGAAGGGAUUUAGUGGGAAAAGAAGAGACACUGAUUACCAGCAGAAUGGAAAUUGGCGUGGCAGAGUUGCUGUUGCUACAGCUGCAGCUUCAUCGUAGCGUGUUGAUUUUCACUUCCGUAGUUUUUUUAGUUGUAGACAUUGAUGUUUUCAUGGUUGCAAACUUGCAACCAGUUUUUUUUUUUCUAUUUUUUUUUUCAAGAAAUUAACCACUUCCUUAUCUUACUUGAACGAUCUUCGUUCAAUCAAAAAAAUAUUUGUUCUUCCAUUUGAAUUUGUUUGCUUCCUAUCUUGUACUGUUCACAAUCUUUAUGGAUGCAGACAUGUAAUCACAUGGAUGCCUUUGUGUUUAUGUUUUAACUGCUUGUAACGAGUUGCUGCUGUUGAUUCAAAUUUACUGAAGAUUUCUUCUAGCAGUUCACUGUGGUGUAUAUUGUAAUUGUGGGAUGCACUGUACAAGCUCCAGCAUUUUAAAAUUACAACCUAUGCCCGUACAAGGUAGUAAUGAAAUCCAUAUUUGCCAAAUCAAGAGCAGGGAAUAAACAAAUGGUAUCCGGCCAUUUCUAUAUUCUUCAUAGACCUGCUAUGUAUAUCCUGCCAUUGCUAAAUCAGAGGACAUACCAAAAGUUAUUUUCGACGUCUACAAUGAUACAAGCCUUGAGAGAAUAGCUUUAUCAGUUCGAACCUUCAAUUAGCUGUGAGAAUGAUCCCAAGUCCCAGCUGAUCCAACUCAUACUUCUUGAGAUACAACAAUGAAGUCAUACCCAGGCUGCAAUGCUUUUUGGCUUCUAUUACUCCUUUAACUAGUAACUAUCGUUACAUAUAUAUGCCUGCUGUUAGUAUGAGUAGCUUUCCAGUUCAGAGACGUUGACCGCAUGAAUCAUAUGCUUCACUUAACACUGCCCCGAAAGUUAACCAAGUAAUAUUGACCACAGUAACAGCAGCCCCAACCAGUUGCACAGAUGAGAAUGUCCACAGAGAUAAAGAAACCUGUGGUGUACCCCCCAAAAAAAAAAAAAUCAAUUAAAAACACUCUAGAACCCAAACCUGUGGUAGAACUAUUAAAACAGCAACCUAUUCAUCAGUAACUAAUCACAGAAGUUCUCCAACUAUUUUCUGGUUUUAGAACUCUUUUUUGAAUAAUACUCUAGACAGUAAUACUGGAUUUUUAUUUACUCCAGAUGUUCUGGUUGGAUGACCUUACCCAAAAAUUGAAGCAAACAUCGGUGUUAGAAAGGUGAGAGAACUUAUUUUUGUCAAGCUACCUGAAACAUAUAAGUAAUUCAAAUCAAAAUUUUGAAUCAAUUUAGUAGGUUAUUAAUUCACGAGAAGAGGAAGAAAGAUAUCGUGAUCAGCAUUGAGUUUUGAGUUGUGGUCAGUGAAGAUCACAGGUGGGGUAAGGCUGAUGGAUGCGGGAGCACCGUUACAAUUGUGAUAAUUUUACUUACUGUACCACUCUCGCCAUUAACUUGAUACAACUCCUUUAUUUAUUUAUAAAUAUCUAUUCUGUCCACAAUUAUGGGUAAAAUUUUAUAUUUUUAUCCUGUUAAACAAAUUAUUUUUACUCUCUUUUCCUCUCCUUUACCUCCCCUUUUGGAAAAAAGUUACCUAGGACUUCCGAUUGUACUCUAUCAAGUAAUAUCGAUAGUACUCCAUCACAUAAAAAGGUAGUUGAUAUUAAAUUUAGUAGAUCUUAUAAUAAAAUUAACUAUAAAUUAUAUUUUUUAAUUUACUAUUCUGUUACAUGAUAGAGUAUUAUUAGACAACGUUAUCAUCUCAGUAUAUUGUCUCAUAAGUACUUCUCCCUCCUUUCUUCCCUAUUUGUCUCACCAUUUUUGCAUCUUCAACCAACCAAAAUUCCAAACAUCAAAUUUAAUCCCAAACAAAAGUUUAAUUAUGUGCUUUUCCGUAUGAACCACCAUUACAAUAAUGAAACCAAUAAUUUCAACAAAAUACAUUUAAACAUAUCAAUUUAAUAAAAAGUUUGGUGUUUAAACCAUACACAUAUUGAAUGAGAUGAUAUGUUUAAUUGUAUUAGAUGAAUUUUAUUAAUUGAACGACUUCGAAAUAUAUUAGAGUUUAUUGAUCAAGCAUGUUCAAGAAGAUGGAAAUGCUUUGAAUAUAAAGAGUUUGAUUGUAAAUGUGAAUUAUGUCGAAUGGUGAGGAUUUUUAGGUGUUAUUAAAGGUUUGAGAUGCAAUUAUAAUACUAUUGAUAUUAAUCUCUGAAAAUUUAAGUGAGUGAUUUUCAAAAAACUUCAUUCUACUUGACACGAGUUUAAUCCUAAAAAUAGAUAAAAUUUAAAAAAAAAUGAUACCGACCUACUCCUCUACUUUUUUAAAAUAAUAUUAUUAAUAUUCUCUAAUGAAUCAAUCAUUAUUUCUAUUGGGACAUAACCAAAAUUACUAGUUUAAAUUAUUCCCAUUUUCAGGAAGAAAUUGAGUUCCUGGUACUUGAAUUGACAAUUACGUCUAAAUUUAGCAGUGCAUUGGAAGAUUUGCUUGAGAUCAAAUGGGUGGGCAUUCAAUUCAGGUUGACCCGAACUUCAACCCAAAUCAAACCGAGCUUAAAUUUUUAUUCGAUUUUAUGUUCGAUUCGGAUUAUCAACUUAUAAAACCGAUCUGUUUUACAAUUUCCAAAACCGUGCGGUUUAUUUUUUGGGGGCCCGGGGGGAUGUUAAAGCUUACAAAAUAUAUAUAUAUUAAAAAAAAACCCAAAACUAAAAGCCCAAACCCGAUCGAAACGAAAGCCUAACAAAAUCAAAACAAACCCUGAAGCAGAAAGCCUGGAACUAUCUUGCGGUUUCUCCUCUCUGCCCACUGAAGACAGAAGGUGCCGGUGCCGGCUGCCGCUAAAAAUACCCACGCCACGACACAGCUGCGCCACGUUCUAGCCGCUGAUAGCCUCACGCGUCACCACGACAGGCACGAGCCGCCGACAGCCUCUGAGCCUCAGCCCAAAACAGUCGCAGUUCUGCCGACGGCCUCACCACACGUCAGCCUCAUCUCUCCUCUCUCAAAUCAGCGUCAGUCCACAACAACCGUACCACAGCAGCCUCAAUCGACUACAGAAACCCACGACCGCAGCUCACGGCAGCAGGCCAGCAGCCCACGAGUCCACGACAACAACCUCAGCGAACCAGCCUCAGCAAAAAAAGGUAAAUUAAUGGAAUUUGUUGCUGCUGAUUUGUUCGUUUGUGAUUGAAUUUGAAGCUUCUGGUUUGUUCAUUUUGAUGAAUGUGAACAACUUAAAUAUUAACUAUAGAUUAAUUUUGUUGAAUGGUUAGCCGUCUUUAGAAUGGAUUGUGUACAAAAUUUUUUACUCGCUGUUGAAUGGUGAUAGUAUAUUAGGAUAGAUUAAUUUUGCUGUUUUACCUUGUUCAUUGUUUACAAUAGUUGCUGUAACUCGAAUUAGUAAUUCAGUCCGAAUUUGCAACCUGAACCAUAUUGCAACCUGAAUUAACAACCUGAACCAAAUUGGAUUUGAAAUCGGUCCAAACUGAACCAAAGUAAAUUUUCAGCUCGUUUGGGUUAAAUUCUUAAACCGAACAGGUUUCAAACCAAACUGAAAUCGAAAAAACUGAACCGAAAACCAAAUUGCCCACCAAUUUUAGUCUUUUCAUUAAUUUUUAUAAAAGUUAAAACACUCGUAGAAAAUGACGUGUUGUUUUGUUUAAAGUGUAAACCCUCAUCGGUCAUGUAAAGUGCAAUAAACCAAAGCAUAAACCCUGCUAUCAAAAAUUGUGCAGCGCAGAGGGUAUCCAGGAAAAGAAAAGAUGGUGGUGAGGAUUCGAUUGGCGAGAUUCGGAUGUAAGAACAAACCUUUCUAUCGGGUGAUGGCUGCUGAUAGCCGAUCACCCAGAGAUGGUAAGCAUCUUGAAGUCUUGGGCUAUUACAAUCCCUUGCCAGGUAUCUCAUUUCCCCUUUCAAUUUACUUUUUAGAUCAAUGAAUUUUUUUUCUUGCAAUAUUCUGAUUCUAUUCUAAUGUUUAUCCUUUUAGGUCAAGACAGCGGCAAAAGAAUGGGUCUGAAUUUUGAUAGAGUGAAGUAAGCCAAUUCCUUUUUCUCUUUUAAAUAUAUUGACUUUGGUAUUCCACUCUAUCGUGAAAGUAUUUUUGUUGCAUUUGAAUACUCAGAUUUGAUGGUCAGUUAUUAACUGGACUGCGGAAUGAAUAUGUUCUGCAGCUGAUUGCAAUUUUUAUUUUUUUCUGUUCUAUAUUUCCUUUGCUUCCAUGUUCUCAACUGAAAGUAUGAACUGUUUGAGAGGCACAUUAUGGUUAUGUGAUGUUAGAGGCAAGGGCUAUAUAGAAUAAUUUUCCAAACUAAAAGAUAAGAAAAUACACACUACAAUGCAAUGUAUUUUAUAUUAUAGUUUAUUGAAAUUUGUGUUUUUUUGUCUUUUAGCUUAAUAUAGUUAAAGUCAUGGAUUCUUGACUAGGACCUAUAUAUUUAAAACAAAAGAAAAAGGGAAAAAGAAAAAAAAAACUUGAAGUGAAACUGUAGCUUAAAAAUUUGUGGUGUGCUAAAAGCAAAUGUAUGGCUCAUUUUGUCAUCCACAGUUGAUACAGUGGUUGGUUGAUCUUCCUUGUGCAAAACCUUUAAUUUUGAUCCUUAAACAAAUGAGAAUCAGUGGCUUACCCUAGCCCGAUUGAAGCCCACAUGAAUCCCCUUGAAGAGGCUUUCCUGUCAUCAAGGAACCAAUAUUUUUGACAUGGUUUGGCCUUGAUACUGAUUUGAACUCUCCCAUUUGAACUAUCAGCAUCUGUGAAAGCUGAAAUUGGAUCAGCCAUAUGCCUUCUUAGAAAAUUACUAUGGCCUGCUUUUGGUUGUUCAUAUCUAUGAUCAUAUGCAGUAAUUUCAAUGUUGACAGUGAAAAAUAUUCAUUGAAAGCUUGUUUCUAUUUAAUGGUAGAAUUAUGGCAAAGACAUCAACUGGUAAGGUUACUAUGGUCUGUUGAACUGAAGUCUGAAGCUCUUAAUUACAUUAUCUAUACGGGUGAUAAGUCUGGUUAAUUGGAAUUAUUUCAUUUUAGGUGGUCAAAUGAUCCUCAGUGAAUUUCUUUUCUCUUUUUUUUUCCUCUCCCUUUUAUAUAUCUGUGUAAGGUUGAUUAUACAAGAAUUUUAAUGCCAUCCCCAAGUUUGCGUUGUGAGAAUUGUAAGCUUAGCACUCGCAGGAAAUGAUAUACUUUUCUCUUUUGCGCUAGCUUUCUGAUAACUCCAAUGCCUAUCAUACCUAAGUAAUAUAAAUAACUUAUAAAUAACUGCAUAAAACAUAUCACUGCUCUAUCUCUGUCCAAUUUGGUUUUUCGUUAAUCUUUUCGCAGGUAUUGGCUAUCAGUUGGUGCUCAACCAUCGGACCCUGUCCAGCGCAUUCUUUUCAGGGCAGGGUUACUACCCCCACCUCCUAUGGUGGCAAUGGGACGCAAAGGUGGACCACGUGAUACACGUCCGGUCGAUCCUAUGACAGGACGUGUUUUGGAGAAGCCAACCAAUGCUAAGCAAAUAAAAGCUGAUGGUAUGGAAGGAGAGGCUGCCCCUUGAAAUGUUUUAACCACUGCCUUAUUUUGCAAUCAAAAAAUAGUUGUUCUUCCAUUGGAAUUUGUUUGUUUCCUGUCUGCUACUGUUCACCUUGUUGAUUUAUUAGUGAUUACUCGCAUGUUUUAUGGAUGCAGACAUAUGUAGUCACAUGAACGGUCUUGAUCUGGUUUUUGUGUUUAUGCACUGUACAAGCUCCAGCAUUUUAAAAUUACAACAUAUGCCCGUACAAGGUAGUAAUGAAAUCCAUAUUUGCCAAAUCAAGAGCAAGGAAUACAUACAAAUGGUAUCCGGCCAUUUCUAAAUUCAUCAUAGACCUGCUAUGUAUAUCCCACCAUUGCUAAAUCAGAGGACAUACCGAAAGUUAUUUUCAACGUAUACCAUGAUACAGCCUUAAGAGAAUAGCUUCAUCAGUUCGAACCUUCAAUUAGCUGUAAGAAUGAUCCCAAGUCCCAACUGAUCCAACUAAUACUUCUUGAGAUACAAACAUGAAGUCAUACCCACACUCCAACGCUUUUUUGGCUUCUAUUGCUUCUUUAACUAGUAACUAUCUUUAAAUAUGCAUGCCUGCUGUUAGUAUAUGUAGCUUUCCAGUAUAGAGGUGUUGCCUUGAGACUGCCGAUACAGUCUCCCAGUAAGCCUCCUUUUCAUCUUUGUUCACAUGUUAGCCUCCAUGUUGACGCAUAAACCAUAUGCUUCACUAAACACUGCCCCGAAAGUUGACCAAGUAUAUAGCAACCACAGUAACAGCAGCCCCCACCAGUUGCAGAGGUGAGAAUGUCUCACCGAGAUAGAGAAACCUGUGGUGUACCAAGGAAAAAAAAAAAUCAAUCAAAAACACUCUAGAAGCCAAAUUACGCAACACCAAAGAACUCAUACAUAUGUACAUAUAUAUAAACAAGAAUGGUAGAACUAUUAAAACAGCGACCUAUUCAUCAGUAACUAAUCAUAGAAGUUCUUCAACUAUUUUCUGGUUUUAGAACUCUUUCUUGAACAAUACUCCAGACAGUAAUACUGGAUUUUCAUUUACUCCAUAUGUUCUGGUUGGAUGACCUUACCCAAAAAUUGAAGCAAACAUUGGUGUUAGAAAGGUGAGAGAACUUAGUUUUGUCAAGCUACCUGAAACAUAUAAGUAAUUCAAAUCAAAACUUUGAAUCACUUUAGUAGGUUAUAGCAGAAUUAGCUCACAAGGAAAAAGGAUAUUGUAAUUGGCAUUGAGUAGCAUAAUUGAUUACUUACCUUUAGUAGCGCUGUAGAAGUAUACACCAUAGCUUAUGGCACUUCCAAAUAUGGAGGUAUAAAGUAGUGCCAAUAUAUCACUUGAUGUAAGCUCCUUAACACUCUCACUGUAGACAGGAUCAUGAUUGAGGACAGAGAUUACCACGAGAGGAAGACCACCGAUUACCAUGUGCUGCAUAAAUGUGAAUGUUAGUUCCACUUCCACGCCUCCACACAUACUCUCAGAGUUAAAAGGGCACAAGGACUUUGAAUGUUUGACAUCAUUAUAUAUUAUGUCUACAAUCAUGGAUAACAGCUGCUAUAAAGAAAUCACCAAUUGAACGUCUAUGAGAAAUCACUGUUUAGAACAGGAACAAUACCCAUCCAGUUGCCAUAACAGGAUCAGAGUACUUGGAAACCCAGCGGACCAUUACCGUACCGACUGCCAUGCUCUGAGCUGCAAGGAGCAUCCACCACUCCCCACUUCCCCAUAAUGAAGAAUUACUCUCAUCAAAUGCAGGUGCCUGCAAGAGAUUAAUUCCAUCAUAUACUUUAAAUGAAUACAAAUUUAACGGAACAUUUUUCUGAACAUAGGCAUAAAAUAAAUCUAUGACUUCUUUUCAGGGAAUACGUCAUUAGGAUCCUCUUUUCAAUAUGGAGGAAAGUUUCUUAUUACAAUGACGGCUGAUGGGUGACAAUUCACAAUUCAUUACAAAAUUUCUUAAAUAACUUAGCUGACCAACAGACCAGUCACCAGCACAUUGAACUCACACACACUCUCUUUAGGCAGCUUAAAGCUUUAAAAGUGUUGCCUUUACUUGAAAAUAAACCAAAGAACAAGCUUUGAAAUAUAAUAAGAAUUGAUAACAAAGCUCCAAGGACACCUGUUAUACAAAGCGCAUGCUGCACAAAAUGCAUAGUUUCAGCCAUCAAUUUAGUGCAAUUAUGCAUGUAUAUAUGGUGUUUUCAGUGAUCACAGUAAUAUGAACUGCCAAAAUUAAUAAUAAUAAUAAUAAUAAUAAAAUUGAAAGCAGCAACAUUGUAAAGAUUAAAACUAGAAUCGCAACUCUAGGAAUCUAGAGCCCACCUCAAGCAACAAAAGUCCUAUAACACCAAGAACAAGGCCACCAGCUCCAACUAACCCAAUGGACUCCCCAAACAACAAAGCCGCAAGCACAGCUACUGACAAUGGUUGUGAGUCAAUUAUCACCUAUGAAGGUAAUAGAAAACAAAAUUUUAGCUUGAACAAAAGAAAAGGUAAAUUUCCUGGACUUGAAGGUACCAAAUUCAAUAAAAUCUUGCAGUGCAAAUAAAAUUUUUCAAUAAUAUUAGAGAUACUUACACUACCCAAACCUGCAGAAGUUCUCUGCAAACCCUGAGCAAGAAAACCCUGUUCCAUCGCCAUUACCCACAUAAUUAACAAACUAUUACACAUAGAAACAUACAUAAACUGAAAACAAGAGAAUUGGUAAUGUAUAAGACUAAGACCUGAAAGCAUGAAGCAUCAACAAGAGCAAAGAGAAAGAUGGAAACCCAAGCAUUGAAUCCAGAGGGAAGCUUUCGACCUUGAGAGCUAGCAAAAGUUAUUAACAACAAACCAGCAGGAAUCAAACGAAAUGCAGCCACAAAGAAAGUGCCAGCCUUAGGCAAAACCUCCUUCAUUGCCACCAUUGCGGUUCCCCAAAAGAAGAAUGGCGACACCAACACUGCCCAUUCCAAAAGCAUCCCCAGCUCCAUCACUUGGCCAUCUUGUUCUACUUGCUCUUGUUCUAUUUCCUCUUUAUCAGUUGGGGAGAUCAGACACUCGACGUCUGUGCCUGUUUCCACACAAUCAACGGUGGAUGAAGAUUCCAUGUUUUUCUUGUUAGUUGUUGUACAAUUUGUGACAAUAAUGCAUCUUUUCUUGAAUGAAUUAAUAGUAAUAUAAGGAGAAAAAAGUGAAGGCGGUGCAUGCGCAACAUGGUUGCUGCUAAGCUUUUUGUUUGAAUAGGAUGAUAAAGAUGAUCGAAGCAAAAAAGAAGAGUUAAAGGUGGAAGAAGCAGAAGCAGAGGACCACCAAGCCAUCUUUACAGUCCUGGUGCGCUUAGCUUCGCGGAACAGUGAUGACGCAGAGCAAAGAGCUUGAGUUUUGAGUUGUGGUCAGUGAAGAUCGCACGUGGAGUAAAGCUGAUGCACGCGUAACUGCGUAAGCACCGUUACUAUUGUGGUAAUUUUACUUGUUUUACCCUUAUAUUUUUGUUAUAUACCGGAAAUGGCAAGUUUGCAACAUUUACGGAUUUACCUCAGUGUAGCAUUCUAGCCAUUAAUUUCAAACAACCCCUUUAUUUAUUUAUAAAUAUCUAUUGUGUCCGAAAUUAUGGGUACAAUUUUAUUUUUCAUCCUAGCAGAAAAUUAUUUUUACUCUCUUUUGAACUUACUUGGGACUUGCGAUAAUACCCCACGUAAGAGAUUAGGACGUUGGACAGUACUCUAUCACGUAAUAGAGUAGAAGAUAUUAAAUUUAGUAGGUUUUAUAAUAGGAUUCGUUAUAAAUUUUAUCUUUUAAUUUAAUGGUAAUUUUUAAAAGCCUCCCUUGAGGUUUGAGGCUGUUGCAAGUAGAUGGUGAAAAUUAUUUUAUUUGUAAAAGACCCCUUACUGUUAGUUAAAAUUUUCAUUGACUAACUGUUGACUUUAAAAAGACAAUAUUACCCCCAAUAAUAGUUUACGUCAGUUAAAAUUAUUUUAAAAUCUUAAAAAAAAUAAAAUUACAAACUUAAAAAAAAUAUAUUUUUAUAUCAAAUAAUUAAGAUUUGUAAUUUUAUUACAAACUUUAAAAAAUUAUAUUUUUAUAUCAAAUAAUUAAGAUUUGUAAUUUUAUUACAAACUUUAAAAAAUUAUAUUUUUAUAUCAAAUAAUUAAGAUUUGUAAUUUUAUUACAAACUUAAAAAAAAUUUACGUCAGUUAAAAUUUCCUUAAAAUCUUAAAAAAAAUAAAAUUACAAAUUUUUAAAAAAAUUAUAUUUUUAUAUCAAAUAAUUAAGAUUUGUAAUUUUAUUACAAACUUAAAAAAAAUUUACGUCAGUUAAAAUUUCCUUAAAAUCUUAAAAAAAAUAAAAUUACAAAUUUUUAAAAAAAUUAUAUUUUUAUAUCAAAUAAUUAAGAUUUGUAAUUUUAUUACAAACUUAAAAAAAAUUUACGUCAGUUAAAAUUUCCUUAAAAUCUUAAAAAAAAUAAAAUUACAAAUUUUUAAAAAAAUUAUAUUUUUAUAUCAAAUAAUUAAGAUUUGUAAUUUUAUUACAAACUUAAAAAAAAUUUACGUCAGUUAAAAUUUCCUUAAAAUCUUAAAAAAAAUAAAAUUACAAAUUUUUAAAAAAAUUAUAUUUUUAUAUCAAAUAAUUAAGAUUUGUAAUUUUAUUACAAACUUAAAAAAAAUUUACGUCAGUUAAAAUUUCCUUAAAAUCUUAAAAAAAAUAAAAUUACAAAUUUUUAAAAAAAUUAUAUUUUUAUAUCAAAUAAUUAAGAUUUGUAAUUUUAUUACAAACUUAAAAAAAAUUUACGUCAGUUAAAAUUUCCUUAAAAUCUUAAAAAAAAUAAAAUUACAAAUUUUUAAAAAAAUUAUAUUUUUAUAUCAAAUAAUUAAGAUUUGUAAUUUUAUUACAAACUUAAAAAAAAUUUACGUCAGUUAAAAUUUCCUUAAAAUCUUAAAAAAAAUAAAAUUACAAAUUUUUAAAAAAAUUAUAUUUUUAUAUCAAAUAAUUAAGAUUUGUAAUUUUAUUACAAACUUAAAAAAAAUUUACGUCAGUUAAAAUUUCCUUAAAAUCUUAAAAAAAAUAAAAUUACAAAUUUUUAAAAAAAUUAUAUUUUUAUAUCAAAUAAUUAAGAUUUGUAAUUUUAUUACAAACUUAAAAAAAAUUUACGUCAGUUAAAAUUUCCUUAAAAUCUUAAAAAAAAUAAAAUUACAAAUUUUUAAAAAAAUUAUAUUUUUAUAUCAAAUAAUUAAGAUUUGUAAUUUUAUUACAAACUUAAAAAAAAUUUACGUCAGUUAAAAUUUCCUUAAAAUCUUAAAAAAAAUAAAAUUACAAAUUUUUAAAAAAAUUAUAUUUUUAUAUCAAAUAAUUAAGAUUUGUAAUUUUAUUACAAACUUAAAAAAAAUUUACGUCAGUUAAAAUUUCCUUAAAAUCUUAAAAAAAAUAAAAUUACAAAUUUUUAAAAAAAUUAUAUUUUUAUAUCAAAUAAUUAAGAUUUGUAAUUUUAUUACAAACUUAAAAAAAAUUUACGUCAGUUAAAAUUUCCUUAAAAUCUUAAAAAAAAUAAAAUUACAAAUUUUUAAAAAAAUUAUAUUUUUAUAUCAAAUAAUUAAGAUUUGUAAUUUUAUUACAAACUUAAAAAAAAUUUACGUCAGUUAAAAUUUCCUUAAAAUCUUAAAAAAAAUAAAAUUACAAAUUUUUAAAAAAAUUAUAUUUUUAUAUCAAAUAAUUAAGAUUUGUAAUUUUAUUACAAACUUAAAAAAAAUUUACGUCAGUUAAAAUUUCCUUAAAAUCUUAAAAAAAAUAAAAUUACAAAUUUUUAAAAAAAUUAUAUUUUUAUAUCAAAUAAUUAAGAUUUGUAAUUUUAUUACAAACUUAAAAAAAAUUUACGUCAGUUAAAAUUUCCUUAAAAUCUUAAAAAAAAUAAAAUUACAAAUUUUUAAAAAAAUUAUAUUUUUAUAUCAAAUAAUUAAGAUUUGUAAUUUUAUUACAAACUUAAAAAAAAUUUACGUCAGUUAAAAUUUCCUUAAAAUCUUAAAAAAAAUAAAAUUACAAAUUUUUAAAAAAAUUAUAUUUUUAUAUCAAAUAAUUAAGAUUUGUAAUUUUAUUACAAACUUAAAAAAAAAUUUACGUCAGUUAAAAUUUCCUUAAAAUCUUAAAAAAAAUUAAAAUUACAAACUUAAAAAAAAUUAUAUUUUUAUAUCAAAUAAUUAAGAUUUGUAAUUUUAUUACAAACUUUAAAAAAUUACAUUUUUAUAUCAAAUAAUUAAGAUUUGUAAUUUUAUUACAAACUUUAAAAAAUUUACAUUUUUAUAUCAAAUAAUUAAGAUUUGUAAUUUUAUUACAAACUUUAAAAAAUUUACAUUUUUAUAUCAAAUAAUUAAGAUUUGUAAUUUUAUUACAAACUUUAAAAAAUUUACAUUUUUAUAUCAAAUAAUUAAGAUUUGUAAUUUUAUUACAAACUUUAAAAAAUUUACAUUUUUAUAUCAAAUAAUUAAGAUUUGUAAUUUUAUUACAAACUUUAAAAAAUUUACAUUUUUAUAUCAAAUAAUUAAGAUUUGUAAUUUUAUUACAAACUUUAAAAAAUUUACAUUUUUAUAUCAAAUAAUUAAGAUUUGUAAUUUUAUUACAAACUUUAAAAAAUUUAUAUUUUUAUAUCAAAUAAUUAAGAUUUGUAAUUUUAUUACAAACUUUAAAAAAAUUAUUUUAAGAUUUGUAAUUUUAUUUUUUUAAGAUUUUAAGGAAAUAUCAAUAACUUGAUCAUGGUGAAAAUAAUUAUUUUAAUUACUUAUGAAAUUAUAAAUAUUUAGAAUUGUAAAUAUUGGGGGUAAUAUUAUCUUUUCAAAGUCAAUAGUUAGUCAAUAAAAAUUUUAACUAACGGUAGGGGGCCUUUUACAAAUAAAAUAAUUUUCACCAUCUACUUGCAACAGCCUCAAAACUCAGGGAAGAUUUUUAAAAAUUACCCUUUAAUUUAAUAUUCUGUCACAUGACAGAGUAUCAUUGGACAAGUCCACCAUCUCAAUAUAUUAUCUCACACAAUUAUUUCUCCUUCGUUUCUUCCCUAUUUGUCUCACCAUGUUUGCAUCUUCAACCAUACAAAAUUCCAAACAUCAAACUGAAUUCCAAAACAAAAGUUCAAUCAUGUGUGGUCUACUGAAUGAACCGUUAUCACGGUAAUAAAAAAUCAAUAAAUUUAAUGAAAUACAUUUAAACACAUGAUUGAAUGAGAUAAUAUGCAUUAAAAAAAACACAUCAAUUAAUGAGAAGUUUGAUGUUUAAACCCUAUACAUAUUGAAUGAUAUAAUAUGUUUAAUUGCAUUAGAUGAAUUUUAUUAAUUGAACAACUUAAAAAUAUAUUAAAGUUAUUGAUCAAGCAUGUCCAAGAAGAUGAUGGAUAAUGAUAAAAUAAAAAAAUAUUAUUAAUAAUUUCCCAAUGGAUCAAUCAUUAUUUCUAUCGGGGCAUAACCCAAAUUACCACUGAAAAUUAUUCCCAUUUGCAGGAAGAAAUUGAGGUAGCGUUUACUUUUUGGAUUGGAUUGGGAAUCCUGAGGAGUGGGAAUCCUAGGAUUGGGAGUGUAGAGUGGGAGUGGGAGUAGGUUGUUUACUUACACUGGAAUGGAAGCAUGGAUUAGAGAUCAGAAUCCAAUUUAUGUGUUUACUUUGUCUUGGAUUGGGAGUAAAUAGUUUCAAAUUAUAAUUUUAUCCUUAUUUAAAGAAUUAUAGUUUUUAAUUACAAAACUAAUAAAAAAUAUAUAUUUAAUGAAUAAUAUUUAUUUUAUUAUAUUUGUAAAUUUAUUAUAAUUAUUAAUAUUCUUAAUUAUGAACAAUAAAUUAUUAAUUUUAAUACAAAAUGAAACCUUAUUUUAUUUUAUUUAAUAUAAUUAUAUUAAAUUUAUUAUUAUAUACUGCUGUACCGUACAUCCGGCAGAUUAUUCAAAUAAAUAUAAUAAUAUUAUUCAAAUAAAUAUAAUAAUAUUUAUUUUAUUUUAUUAAUUAUAAAAUAUUAAAUUAAAUAAAAUAAAAAAAAUAAAAGGGUAAAAAAGGGAGAGGUGGGAGUGGGAAUCCACUCCCACCUCCCCCAAUGGGAGUCCCACUCCCACUCCCCACUCCGAAAAUAAGUGGGGCCCACGGAGUGGGAUUCCCACUCCCUUCCUAUUUAGAGGAAGUAAACGCUGGAGUGGGAGGAAUCCACACUCCUCACUCCCACUCCAGUAAGUAAAUUGGGACUCGAAUUGACAAUUAAUGAGUUGCAGGACCCAAAGUCAUAAUGAAGGAUUGACAUAGAACCCCAGUGGCGACUCACAUAAAUGGCAACGGAGCUUUGCAAUGCCAACGAAAAUAAUAAAAUAAUGAAUUAUUUAGGGUUUAGUCUCCAACAAUUAUUUUGUUUUUCACGUAACGUAAAAUCCUAACGUUGCUUGCAUGACUUGCUUACUUUACCUUCAUCAGUCACUAUUGCUUGCGUCUAAAUUUAAUUGUGCAUUGGGAAGAUUUGCUUGAGAUUAAUUACUAUUCAAAACCAAGGUCCGUUUUUCAAGUCUCUCAGAUCUGUUAACGCGUUUGAUAAAUUAGUUGGCUUACUUUUCAGUAUUAACCAGCACCACGAAGUCAAAAUUGCUUUAAAAAUAAAAUCAUCAUAAAUUGUUUUGGCAUCUCUUUUCCGAAAGAAAAAUAUGACACACACCAACUUGAUAUUCAAAUGAUUUAAUUUCUUGGGAAUUUGGAUGCAACGAAUAAGGAAGUUAUCUACCUCUCUCUGUCAACUAAAACGGAUUCAGUCCCUUCACGCUAUAUAUUUAUUUCUAAAUAUAGAAUUUUAUUUCGCAUUUUUUUACACUCGACAUUAAUAAUUUUAUAUUUCAUAUAUGAUUCAUAUUAUUCUAUCUUAUUUUGUUUUUAUACGUUAUCUACUCGUUGUGAUUAUUCUUAUUGAAUUUGUAAAACAAAAAAUUAAAUAGAUAAAUUAUGAAACAGUGAUGACAGGCAUGAGAUCAGUAAUCGUCACUUACCCUUGAGCUUAGUCAAAAACAGUAGGUACGUAGCUUCAUAAAUUGACAAUUUACUUUGCAAUUGCAUGACUCAGUCAUUUUGCUUUGAUUAUUUCUCCCCAAAAAAAAAAGAAAAAAAAGAAGCUUCCAAGAACUUAACAUUGAGUUACAAAUUUGGUUAACCAAAAGUUUGCCUCUUUUAAUUAUUUGUAAUAUUACUUAACCUCAGAAGAAUAUGCCACGUGGUUUCUCAAAAAUUUUGAUAUACGAAAUAUAUCAUAUCAUCCAAAUAGAAUUAAAAAAAAAAACCUUUGGUUAAUAUGUGUGUCUUAAUGAGAGCUAUUAAAUUAACUUAAUUUCUUCCUAAUAAGGAGAAUGAAUCGACCAUAAAUUUAGAAAAGCUUGCUUGUAAUCACUAAACAAGAAAAAGGUGAGUUAUUGUUAAAUGUUAAUCACUUCUCUUGAACAAAAGGGAAUCAUUCAAAUCGACCAUUAUUUGCAGUUUGUAAUAUUACACUUCAUGAAUAACCAAAAAAGUACGAAAUCAGAAGUCACCUUCAAUCCAAAUUUUUGUUUCUUGUUUCUUGGCUUUUGUUUGCAUGUGAACUGGGGUUCUGCAGUUUCUUCUGAAUUGACCUCAUCAUGUAUAUAUAGGGUAAUUUUUAAAAACCUCCCCUGAGGUUUGGACUUGUUGCAAGUAGAUGACGAGAAUUGAUUUAUUUGUAAAAAACCCCCUACCGUCAGUUAAUUUUAACAUUGACCGUUAGUUGACUGUGCAAAGACAAUAUUACCCUUAACAAUAAUUUGUAGAUGGAAAUAACUAAAAAAAAAAUUAAAAUUAUUGGUUAUUUUACCCUCUUUAAAUUAUUGAUAUUUUCUUAAAGUUCCUACAAGAAAGAUAAAAUUUAAAAUUUAAAAAAUUCUCUUUAAAUUAUUAAUAUUUUCUUAAAGUUUCUACAAAAAAGAUAAAAUUAAAAACUUGAAAAUAAAAUAGUUAUAAUCUUUACCUAUGAUAUUGUAAAUUUUUGGAAUUGACAAGGAUAAAAUUGUCAAAAAAUAGGGUUUGUGCUUUUUGCGCCAACAAUUUUAAUUUUUUUUUUUAGUUAUUUCCGUCUACAAAUUAUUGUUGAGGGUAAUAUUGUCUUUGCACAGUCAACUAACGGUCAAUGUUAAAGUUAACUGAUGGUAGGGGGUUUUUUACAAAUAAACAGAUUCUCGCCAUCUACUUGCAACAAGUCCAAACCUCAGGGGAGAUUUUUAAAAAUUAUCCUGUAUAUAUAUAUAUAUAUCAGCGGAGUAGGUGAAAAGUCUAAUUAGGUUUGAAAUCAAAUGGAACAUAAACUGUCCAUAUGAAUAUUAUCUAUUUUAAAUCAAAUUAUUCGGAUGUAUAUUCGCGACACAUGUUAAUAUAUAAUUGAUCUAUGAAGCGUACAAACUAUGUGAUGCUAAUUAUUUAUAGUAUGAAAGCGGGAAGCUAGAAAGCCAGACGCGUCAUUGAAUUUAUGUAACGCACCAAAACAUGUGCUUUUAUAAAAUAAAAUAAAACAAAAACCAUAGAAAAAUUGACACUUCAGCCUUUAAGGACAAGUCAAACAAAGGAAGCUUCAAAUAAUUUUCUAAUUAUUUAAUACAACUAGCCAAGAAAUUUUUCUCUUAUAUUGAUUACUUCAACACACAAGAGGAAUGAAUAUAUGCACACAUUCAUUCAAAGUCUCAAAACUUUGCAUCAAAAUUUGCAUUCAGUUCAAUGGCUGACCAACCGAAAAUCCACCCGGUGCAAGAAGAUAUAGAGGCACAACAAAAGCCAACAGCCCCACUAGUGCCACGUGACACGUCAAAAUCCGAUCAUGGAGACCCGGCGGCCGCCGAGCGUUACCCGCCUUUUCAACGUACGAUUCCGGUGAUGCACUCAAAGCCGCCGAAGAGGAAGAGAAGCUGCUUGUGCAAGUGCAUGUGUUGGACCAUUUCUCUGUUACUAAUCUUGAUCAUUAUCAUUGCCGCUACCGUUGGAAUCCUGUGGCUUGCAUUCAAACCAAAGCUGCCAAAAUUUUCAGUUGACAGAAUGCAAGUAAGUCAGUUAAAUCUCAGCGACAACUCCAGCUUAGAAGCUACCUUCAACGUUACGAUUACAGCCCGAAACCCUAAUGAGAAAAUAGGGAUAUACUACGAAGGAGGGAGCCGCAUAAAUGUUUAUUAUACGGACACGAAGUUAUGUGAAGGGUCAUUGCCAAAAUUUUACCAAGGUCAUAAGAACACGACGGUGCUGAAUAUUCCGUUAACGGGGCAAACGGAGAACGCUACGGCGUUGGCAAAUACGCUGCAGGAGCGACAGCAGCGGACGGGGAACGUGCCCCUGAAUCUUAGGGUUAAGCAGCCUGUUAGGAUCAAGCUCGGGAAGUUGAAGCUGAUGAAGGUGAAUUUUAGAGUCAGGUGCAGGCUUGUGGUCAACAGCUUAAACCCUGAUAAUAAUUCUAUUAGGAUUCAAGAUAGUAGCUGCAAGUUUAGAUUUAGGCUCUAAAUUGAUUCUUUACCACACUAUACUAGUACCAUACAUCUUCACCACUCCAUGUUAUACUUUUGAUUUUUGAUUUUCCAUUUUCAUUUACCUUAAUUUGUUAUUUUUUCAUUUUGAGUUUUGUUUUUUCUUACAUGAGGUUUUCUCCUCCAUAUAUAUACGGAUCCAUAUAUACACACUAUGAUGUACAUUUAUUCGUAUUAAUUUAUCAGAUUUUUAUUCAGGGUAUGACAAAUCUUCAAUAUGCUAUUUGAGAGCUUCAACCUUUUUCUUGUUUCCUUCACAGAUUUUGUUUGUAAAAUUGUACAUGGUAGUAAAAACUCUUUGAAUUGCAAUAAAAACCGGUAACGUUUCCGCUAAGGGAUUCAUCUGGGAUUGAAUAUCAAAGACACAAAAACUACUUGGUCGGUCUGUGUCGGCGAUGACUGUUAAAAGUACAAGUUACCCUCGUACUUUCUUACAUUUCUUACAUUUUAAGCUUUGACUUUUGGCUGUUAAGCUAUUUAAGGGGUUGGAGUCUUGGAGACGUUAACUUGAGCAUUCAAGUCUCGAAGAAAAAGGUGUGCCCAAGCGGAAAUUAAAUGAUUUCGACAUCUAAUGAUCAAGAGUAGGGCCGCAGGAGCUUAAUUGAAUCAUUUCAUGGACGCAUUUGUUGAAAAUAUGGGAUCAGCCGCUUUAUUACUUGCAGAAAGUUACACUAAUACGAAAGACUUUUUAAGAAGCCGCUAAAAACUAGGUGAUUGUAAUCAAUUAGGCCUUUUGAAAAUGGACACUAUUUACCAAAAACAACAGACGAUCAUGUAGAAAAUUAUCAGUACAAAACUGUUUACAGAGUAUGAUGGCACGACAGUAUAAGCUUGGAAGAAAAAGAUAGCAGAACUGCCUUUCCACAAAUCACCGACGGUAGCGGUAGCGUUUGAAGUUGAAGUAUACAUGCAAUAUUCCACGUUCAAACGUGCACUUGAAUCCUUUCUUAUGAGAAUACUCCCAUUCCUUGUUAACAAUUUUGAAUGCCUGUAAUUUCAGGAAGACAAGCUUGUAAGUCGAGGGUAAUUUAAUCAUUGUACACAAAAAUAAGACUACCAGAUAGUUUGAGACAAUAACUUACAAUGUCCUCAUAUGGAGGCCCGGCAUGGAACCUAAUAAUGCAUGUCUCGCCAUUGCUUCCAUCUUUCUCAAUUGUGUAUGUCGGAGCCUUCGUCUUGUCAACAAGGUCAGGGUAAAAGAUAUUGAACUUAUAUCCUUGCACAAUUUUUGGCGGCGGGUUGUCAUGGUCAUAGUGAGUCUGAUUAUAUUUGUUCCACUCGUAUCCAGUGUGCACACGGUUGAAAUAUUUCGGUUUUCUAGGCCGGUAUUUAUCAUGCCACCAAUACACCUGCAUUUGGGAUUUUUGUAAGCAAAUCGCACUAUCUUAUAACAACUUAGUAGAGGAAGAUGAGCAGAAUGGAUGAUAAGCCCAACCUGUGAGUCCAGGUUAACUUCUGCACCAGACCCAAAUACUGCAUCCCCUUCUUCCAUGGCUCCCAUAGCUUUCAUGGCUUUCAGUUCAAAGUUAUCAUCUGACGGAGUUGGCUUUGAUGCCAUAGCUUCUUGAAUUCGUCUUUGCUGGUCUUCCAAAACUGCAAUUCGUUUACGCUCCUGUUGAUAUACAAGUAGUGACAUGGUUAAACAUUCAAGCUGCUUUUUAACUCAUAAGCUUCCCAAAUAGACAAUAGGCAUUGUAUCAGACAAGUUACCAGUAAAGCCCUAUCCUCAUCAGGGUCAAUAGCUUCUUCAUCAUCAUCACCAUGUAAUAAUUCUGGUGAAAAUGAUCCAGCCUCUUUCUCUGCCUCUUGAGUGUCCUCCAAUACAGGUUCUGGAGAGAAAUUUCCAGCAUCUACACGUCAAAGAAAUAUUAGCCAAUGACUUUAGAUGCAAUAACCUUAAAAAGAAUCCAGAAUUUUACCAUAGCUAAUAAAGAUAUGCAUACCAUUGUCAUCAUGCUCAAUAACCUCUGCUUCAGGCAUUGAAUCAAGAUCGGUUUCGAAUUUUGCAACCUCCGAAGGUUGCUCGAGGCGUUGCAGAUGCUUACGCAGCAUUUUAGCAUGUAUUUCCUUCAAACAAGCCUAUAAUUGCAGCUAGUUAGUAGUGAGGUCCAGAACAAGUUGCACAUUACAUAGAAAAAUCAUUUACAAAGGUUGAGAAUGAGUACCUUUGCCUUAUAUAUAUGAAGCCGUUUAAGAAUGGCUUCCCAGUACUCAACCACCUUGGCUGUGCCGGCACGCAUCUGCAACUCUAUCUUGGUUUGUAAUGCCUCAAGUUCCUUGUGAGUCUUUCCGUCCAAAAGAUUCCUGACAUCUGCUUCAAUGCUAGAAUGCAACCCCCUCUCUUCUGCAAGCAACUCCGCAGGAGGUUGUUCCCCACGGACUCGAGCUCGAUCUAGUGCAUCCUUCUUCCGCGCUUCAGCUAAUUCCCAAUCACAAACCACCAUAAGCGCCUGUUGAAUUAAUUACACAUGUCAAAGCACCAUCCAUGUGACAUUCAUAUCUUAUUUUCACAACUACCCGCAAUUAUUUUCAAUCAACAUCAGGUGCCAAAUACAAUAAUCAUGGCCAUAAUCUUCUGAUAGGAAUCUUCUGAUAGGUUAGCGAUCAUGAGAAAUGGUCUUAAAGAAGAGUAUGACCAAAAGGAAAAACGUCAGAUUUUGGAGACAUUCUAAAUUUUCAAAUUGACAAAAACCUUAUCCUAGAUGAUUAUGGGUCAACAACAUAAAACCUAUCCUAUUAUGUUCUCAUCCCAGGAGUGACCAUUAUGUACAGAAUAUCAAAGUCUAGAAUGGUAGCAAGAUAGAAAGUCUGUAAACAAAGAUAUUUCUAGCUGUCUGUCAGCAAGGAACAUCUCUACUCAACAAGAGCAAAAGAGUGAGAAAGGAUAAUACCUCCCAAUACUCUACAUGAGUUGGUGUUGCCCUGUCCAAAUCUAAAUACAUUUUGAUAUCAUCACGAAGCUCUUCCAUCUCUUUUACUGUCAAGCCCUAUAUUAAACAAUACAAAUCAAACACCAACAUGAAUAGUCAGAAAACAUAGCUAAUGCAUGUUUGUUAAAAAAAUUAUUAAAUCAAAAUUGAGGUUACAACAAAUAAUCACCUUGAAAACCAUGUAUGGUUCAUUUAUUUCUAUGUCUAAAUCAUCCGAGCCACUAAGGUGCUUGCACAAAACAUCAAUUGGCUUCAGACGACCUUCACGCAGUCUAAUCUCUGACCUGACUUUGCUUUGAUCAAAAUGAAACUGUAGAAUGAAAAUAUUAGUAUUGGAUCAAAUAAAAAAUAAUUUUGAAAAUGAACAGUAAUUGAAACUCGGCAACAAACCUCCUCCUCUUUCUUUUCCCAGUCCUGGAACUCAGCACGAGCACGUUCUCUAGCCAACAGUGCCUGCAGAAGGAUGUAAUUAACCAAGCCAAAAUACAUCCAAAUAGGAAUAUAGAUAACUCCAACGUAAUAAGCCAUGAGAUAUUUCUCUUGAAAACACACUCUACAAGAAAAGCUUUACCCUAACAAAGGACUAAACUCACCAUUUCCUCCUCAUGUCGUGCUUUUUCAAGGGCUCUUUCUUCUCUCCUUUUUUUAACCUUUUCAAUUUCUGCCUGCAUCAAGAAUGGAUGAUGAAUAAAUUGAAACACUAAACUAAAAAAACUAGUGAUACCGAUUACUAAAUUAUGAAAUCACUAGAAUUUGGAAUGGUUUAGGACAACAAAGAAUUUAACAACUUGAAAACAAAAGAAAACACACAAAAUUCAUCGAUUACCGCAAGCUGAGAAGUUAAAAAUUAAUUGAGAUAUACAUACCAUCCUUUCUCUCUGUCUCUUUUUCUCUGCUUUAACAGAAAACUCUUCAAGGGGCACACCUUGAGAAACAUCUCGCUCUAUCUUUUUUCGCCAUACAAAUCUGCAACACACAGAUUAUGACUUGUUUAUAUUCAAUAAAAAAUAGAAGAAAAAAAUUCUGCCCUCAAUUUGUGAUUAUUUCAAAUCCAUUAGGCAUUAGCCAUCAGUACAGUAGUUUUACCAUUAAGAAUGCAUUGAAGACAAACAUGAUCAAUUUCAUAAAUUGGAAACAUGUAGUCUGGACUAGUUAUGAUCAUCAGCGCAACCUUCAAAUGCAUUAAAAGGAGAAAAGAAAAACAAAAGGCCAUUCAAGACAAAAUAUAAAGAAAACAUACCUCUCAUUGAGAUUGGAGUCACCAAAUGGAUUUGAAUCAUUAGAAUAACCAGAAACCUUUUGCGCCCUCAAUUUCUUUGCAACUUUUGCCGCCUGCACAAUUGAAAAUUACAAGAGCAGUAAAUAAAUUGAGUGAAACAAUAUAGUAAAAUAAAAUCCAACAAAAAUAAUCAAAAUACUAAACCUUUCUUUGUGCUUUCUUAGCUAAAUACUCAGCGAUUUCCUCUUCAGUAAUGUUCCUUGAAGACUUCCGCUUUCUGCGGUCAUGAUCGCUCUCAUUGCUAUCAUCAUCAGAACUAUCUGAGUCCCUACUGCGUCUGUUGCUUGUGCUUCUUCUUCUGUCAUCCUCAGAACUAUCUGAUUCCCUGUCAUGUCUAUUCCUUUUACUCUUACUUCGUUCUCGGCGUUUGCGGGAGCUCCUUUCCGGUGACUCAUCCGAACUGUUGUAUGAGGCAGACUUGGACUCCAGUUCAGAUGAUGAGUCAUCGUAUCUCCUUCUUUCACUUCGACUUCUUUUGGAAGAAGAAUUCUCUCUCUUGCUCUUACUAGUCUUUAAAUGACUACCCAUUUGACAGAAAACUGUUCAAGUUACAACCAGUGAGUGAUAAUUCAGAAAGUUCUACAGAACCUAAGCAUGCAGAGAAGCCAUAAAAGAGAGGCUCAAUUCCUUGAAUUUUUUUAACAUUGACCACUUAAACUUCUAGGAGAAAAAAAUACCUUUAAAAAGUUAUGUAUUCCUCUCGUAACAAAACCUUUUUGGGUGUUCGGGUAUUCCUUUUUUCCCCUCUUUUGACAAAGACCUGCAAUUUUGAAACUGUUGAUGUUACCCAACGAUCUUGCUUAAUUAGUUGCUGGAAUUAUCUUCAAAUUUAAAAAUCAAUUAUUUCCAAUAAAAUAAGAAAGAAAUCUUUGAAAGGCACCAAUUACAGUGAAGUACAAUGGUGUUGAAAAUCUCUAAUUCUCAAUGAAUUAUAAAUUCAAAACUUUAUUAUAAGUUUUACAACAUAAACAGAACUUGUGAAAGCCACCAACUUGAACUUGGAAAUUGGAAAACUUCAAAAUUUGUCUACGGACAGUGAAGACGAAAAAGCGUUAUAUUAUGCUAUCAAACAAAUAAAAAAUAAAGAAAAUGAAGACAACAACUCACUGUCUCCGACUCUCCGGCGCGAUGGAAUCGGGCGAACCAGGCUGCGACGGCAACAGCUGGCGCUUGGCGACGAGGUGGCUGAAUCACGAUCUACCGUCUGCCCUCUGCCGCCCGCUAAUUGAAUCACGAUCACCGGUGGUUGGAUGGUGCGCGAGUGACAGCAGUGAGACUGAGAGAGAGACGCUGAGACCGGAGGGUGAGACGCGAGAGACGGAGGGAGUUAUAGAGAGGGGUUGCCUGCUGUGUUUAGGGAAAUUAGGGAUUAGAAUUUUAAAUGUUAGGGAAAUCAUUUCCUUUGUUAUCUAUUUUUUUUUUUUAAGACAACUAUUGCUCAUUAUAUUUAUACCACAUAAAUAUCAUAUAAAUUAUUAAGAUUUAUUUAUAUCAAUUUUAUAUGAUACCAUUUAAAUUUUUAACUCUUUUAAAUAUUAUUCAUUAUAUUUAUAUUAUAUAAAUUAUUAAAAUUUAUUUACAUUAAUUUUAAUAUGACACCGUUUAAAUUUUUAACUCUUUAAAUUUUUAACUCUUUCAAAUAUUCGAGUAUCGUUUAACUUUCAUUUUAAGAAAAAGACUAACUUCAUUGAGCUCUAAAAUCCAAAAAAAAAACGGGGCUCGCACCACUUCUAGCCACUUGGGCGCCCAAGUGGUUCAUUUACGUUAUCCAUUUAGAUUUAGGUUUUGGCCUUUUUUCUUAAUUAAACUUACGAUAGGUUUGUGCACCGAAUACAAUCCAUUCGGUUUGUGAAAAUAUAGUAAUUCGAUUUUACCUAUUAAACCGAAUCAAAUAAUUUUUAUUUUUGAUAAAAACUGAAUAUCCAAACCAUUUGGUCUAUGAAAAUAUAAAUAGUUUUAUUUUAUCUAUUAAGCCGAUCAAAUAAUUUUUUGAAUUUCUCCUUAAUUCAAUAAUAUUUUAAUUGUGUAUCAUUCGAUUUAAUCAAUAAUAUAUAAUAUUUGUAUUAAAAAUAAUAAUUUAAAAUUUUAUAAAUUAACUUUGACCACCCUUAAAGUUUGAAGUAAUUUCAUUUAAAUAAUAUAUUUUAUUUAAAAUUACUUCUCAACCCUCCUUUAAAUUCCUUUAAAUUUGUAAUGUGAUAAUCGUUUUUAAAUAAAUCUUCCAAAAUCUAUUAUCAUUAAAUAUAAAAUAUAAUAUUAAGUAGGUUAUUUAACACAAAUUAAAUAAAUAAGUUGCAAUGGUAAAUUUAAUUAUAUAUGAGAUAACACUAAUAAAUAAUACAACUAAGUAUAUAUACUUAAGUAAAUGUCAUAGGUACAUCAAUAAACUCAUUGGUAAGAUUGCUUGUAACCUAAAAAAAUACUUGAUCACACAUAUUUUAAUAACAAUUAAUAUCUUAUGUUAAAACACUCAUUAUUUUAUAUAAUAUUAAGGAUAUUUGUAUAAUUGAUCAUGAAUUAUUUAUUAUUUUUAACACCCAUUUAACAUACUUAUUCUUUAAAUUUUUGUUUAGGAUUUCUCUAUAAUAUUGUAUAAGUUUUUACAGCAUUGAUAAUGGCAUUGUUGUGGACUCUUGGAAGUUAGUGUUUUCAUGUUUACCAUUCAUUUGAUAUAGUAAAUAAAAAAUUAGCUAUUUAAAUCAUAACAAGUAAUAUUCAUGUUGCAAGUAAAUAUAGUUUUUUUAAUUAAUUGAUAAAAGAAAAUUUAUAUUAUAAUGGAUAAAAAUCCCACAAUCAAUGAUGGGAUCAUUGGAUUUAAUAUUAGAAUCUUCACCCUUAAUUUAAUUUUAAUGGAUAAGUAAUUAUGUAACAAGUAAUUUGCAAGUUGUGAUAUUUCUUCACAUUUUAAAUUAUUUUUUAUUUAAUCAAUUGAUAAAUAUUUUAAAUCACCAAAAAAAAGAAAUACAAAUAAUUUUGGAAUUAAAAUUAUUAUGUAUUAAUUCUCUUACUUUACAAUUUUACAUUUUUUUACUUUUACAUUUAGUAUUAGAAAAUAUUUAAUAGCAUUAAAAUAAAUGUAAUUAACAACUAAAGUUAUUUCUAUAAUGCUUUAUAUAAAGAUAUGACAUAAAGACUUAUAAUAAUUUUUAUUGUAUGAAUUUAAUUACAAACCAUUAAUACCUAAACAAUAAUGAUAAUAAAAGGCAUUGCAAUAAAAUAUUUUAUAUAUGUUUUAUUAAUAAUACUAUGUGAGUCACAACAAAUGAGAAAUAUUUUAUUCACCAAUUAUUAUUGAAAAAUAUAUAUGGCUAUAUAACUAUAUAGUGAGAAGUAUUUUGAUUUAAAUUUUUAACAAAAAAUUAAACUAUUAAUUUCAUGCAAUUCAUUGGUGGAGGAUAUAACAUUAUGAAGUGUUACAUUGACUUUUAAUAUUAACUAUUAGACUAUGAGAUAUUAACGGCUCAAAUAUUGUGUCAAAAUUUUAAGUUAAAGUAUCCCAAACCAUAUCUUUAUAAUGGAAAUAUAAAAACAUACAAUGAAUUUUUUUCUCAUUUUGUCCAUUAAAUAUUAUUGGAUGUAAUAUUUUAUUUAUUGUCACUAUUACUUAUCAUAAUAAAAGUAAUGACUCUUAAUAAUAUAAAAAUUUUAUAAUUCCAAUCAAAGGAUAACAAUAAACUAGUCUUUCAUGAUUCAUAAACUAAAGUUAAUUAAAAAUAUGUGUUAGAUUAAACUUUUAUAAAAUUAACAAAGUGAUGUUUAAAAAGGAAUACAAAUUCUUUAAUUUGAUGGAAAUUUGAAUUUAGUGGAAAUUUAAUUCCAUUGAAUUUGGUCCAACUAAACAGUGAAAAAUGAAAAAGAAAUCAAAAUUUUUUCCUCUCCCCACUCCUCUAUCCCCAAACAAACAUGGCCUAAGGGUGGUCACAGUUAUUUUACAAAAAAUAUCCACCGCUUGAACUGUUAACAAACUGUUUACCCUUAUUUUAAUUUUUUUUUUCUUUAGCAUAAAUAUUAUAUACCAUUGAUUAAAUCCAACAGUACACAAUUAAAACAUUAUUAGAGGAACCCUGUUUUGAUUUUAUAAAAACCUAACUAAAUGCUCAGCCCUGGUCAAGCUCUUAAUCUUUUCUUUUUUUUUUUCCGAGGAGGGUUAAGCUUUUAAUCUUAAAUUCCUAUGAAUAGUCAACUAAAAAAUUACGAUAAAACUCAAAGAACGAAACCAAACCGACCAGUCAGAGUCGGUUCAUUUGGAUGGACCAUUAUUGGUUCAAUUUUUCUUUUUAAUAAAUUUAAAGUACUUGUAAAGCAGCAUUAUAACAUUGAUAGCAUGCACUUUGCCCUGAAUGUUGUUAUGCUGUUGAGUGGUAGGAUUAUAGAGAAUGUACAUAGAUUUUUAAUAGGCGGACAAGGCAUGGCUGACACAGAAUUAUCUGCUUCCGAAGAUUGAUCAUUAGCGAGGACAGGAUUUCUGAGAUAAAGAAAUAGCAAAGCACUAUUAUCUAAUAGUUUAUGCCAUUGAAACUUGAAAAUGAAGCAGAGAUUAUGUUGUGAUACAUUUUAAAAUAUAUGCUCAUUUCAUAUUUGAUAUUACAGUAUCCGUGUUUCUUCUUCCCCCCCUGCUGUACGGCCAAGGCGGAUGUACGGUACAGCAGCAGUUAUGGAUUUACCGACCUGUAGAGGAAACCUUACCUAAAAACUUUCUUCAUCACUUCAACUUCAUUUGGCUCAGGCCAUAUUUCAUGAAAGUGCACGGUUGUAUAUUGAUCUAUAUUUAUGUGCGGUACCCACUUCUAAGUAUGAAAGAAAAGGAAUGCUCCUCUCCUCUGAGCUAGUAGAUUCACGUGUAGAUGAAACCAUUCUAUAAUGCUAUGGAAACAUCGGAGUGAGUUAGGGGUCCUACCUCUCUGUAGGGCUCUCGAAUCGCGGAGGAAUUGUUGAAUCUUUUCAUCUGCUGUACGGCCAAGGCGGAUGUACGGUACAGCAGAGGAUCUUUUUCCUCAAAUUAAGUCUGACACAAAAUGCACACACUCAGUUAGCAAUAAGAAGCGGUUCACCUUGGUUAUUUACGAGAAAGGAGUCCAUAAAUGGUACCAGCUACUCCACGCCGUUUACCCUACAUAAUUUAACAAAAGGAAAGCAACUUCUUAAAAUUGCACUCUUCCCAUAUAUGAAAAAUAGGUGACAAUGCUCACCUUUGCACUGUUAAACAUGUCCUCAGCAAGAGCUUCCAUUUGCUUUCUCUUUUUCUCUUCUUUCAUAGACACGGCCAUUUCCUCAGUCCCAUUGUCAGAAUCUCUAUCAUUAUAAAACAAACUCAAAUAAACAUAUUAUAUGAAGUUCUGACUACAGUUCAAGAAUCAGAUUGAGUAGAGGAACAUGGAUCUUACUUAUAUGGGUACUUUGAAAAUGGAAUAAGGCUGCUGAAGCUAUUCCCUGAUUGAAUAUUUGUCUACAAAACCAUUAAAAAUUUUUGAAAAAGAGGGGGGGAAAAAGAAAAAAGAAAGAAAGAAAAAGGCAUCAGGCAUCUUGUAAUAGAAAGAACUCAGAAACAAGAUAUCUAGAUGCAUGCAAAAUGAUAAAUAAAAAAAAAUGCUCAACAUACAAUGACUCCUAGAUUGGCCAGUCAUGAACUUUGCAGAGGAUUUCAAGCAAAAGGGGUAGAUUGGAGAAUAAUAAUACAAGGAAACGGAAACCGACACGUAUGAAUUUCUGAGAAACGCCACAUUUUUUGGUCUAAUUUAGAGCAGAAUGCAUGGUUUGGCAUGGAAUGGAAAAUUUCAAGACAAUACCUUUCUGAAGCGUUUGAAAUUUAAGACUCCAUUGUUUGCUGUAGAGCUGAUGGUGGAAGCUACAUUCAGAUCUCUAACAACUAAAUUUUGGCUGUAAAUGAUAUCUGAAUUUUCACGUUCCAGAUCAGCCUUCUCUCUGCUUGUAGUCAUACAAUUGUUUCCAUCUCUGAAGCCUGUACCACGACGAUCCUCCGAUCUGUUUGCAAUACUGUUGCUUCCAUCUCUAAAGCCUGCACAAUGACUAUCCUCUAAUCUAUUUGCAGUACAACUGUAUCCAUCUCCAAAGUCUGCACCAUGACUAGCCUCUGAUCUGUCUGCUCCAUGGAUAUCGGCUGAUCUAUAUGCAAUACUACUGUUUCCAUCUCUAAGGCCUGUUUCAUGCUGAUUAUCGGAUCUAUUCACAGCAUGAUUGAUGGAUAUUUCCUCUUUGCUUAGAUAUGUGGGGGCUUCCUCAUUAUCGACAGCAGCUGUUGCAUGACCUGGUGAUGUUUCUUCUUCUGUUUCAGCAUCAGAAUCAGCUACCACGGUCUCAUCCGUUGAGCAUGAAGAUGAAAUGAGUACUGCAAAAGUGCAGACAUAAAAGGUUAUUACCUUGUUAUGACAAAAUAAAGAAAAGCUUGAUCGCAAUUUAUAAAAAGCAGUUAAAGAUUUCUGUCAAAGAACCACUGAGCCUUAGUCCAGUGGCUAGAGCCACUCCCUCACAAGUGUGAGGGAAGUGGUUCGAACCCCACAGAAACAUUGUGGGGGUUUAAUUUAAAUUUCCUUCCUCAUCUCUUGAGUGAAGGUUGAAGUCCCCUCGAAUAUCAGAGAGGAUUAAAAUCUGGGCUGUGCUAUAUAAGAGUUUAUGUAAACUAAUCCCAGUUAUUAUGUGAUUGUAAAUACUAGUUGUAGUAUCAUGUAAUAUGUUGUAUCAUGAACAAUAGUCUCGUAUAAUUAAAAAAAAAAAAAAUUGCUGUCAAAGAUCACGAAAGAGAGUUAAAUAAGUGCACAAAAUAAAGUUAUAUUGAUUUACGCAACCAAAAUAAAUAUGGGUUCAAAUAAAGAGAUAUCGUUGUCAAUACCAUGUAACGUUAAAUCUUCUGAAUGUUAAGAAACUUAUAAAUCAAGUAAUCACAAGAUGUGCCUGUAGUAUUACUUCGGUUAACCAAGACGCAAGGUUCAAAUACCUAGAAGAUACUGAGAAUGCAUUACUGCAUUUCUAGUUGCCAAUAGCAUAUGUUAGUUAAUCAAGAAGCAAGACUUAUAUAUCUUGAAUAAAAUAAUCAUUUACCUGGUGGUGAUGGUGAUAUCAAUACAGACGGAUCCAGAUGUCCAGAUAAAACAGCACAUAUCAAAUCUUUUUCAUUCACUCUAGAUAGUGAACUGAGUUUGAGGAUUGACUUAGAACAAUCUUCUGACUUUCUUGGUAGGACAUACACCACACUGUUAUGUUCUACACACUCCGAGUCCUACAUCAAAUUAUUUUCUAAAAGAUAUUAGAUGAUAAAUAUCUCAGAAAAUGUGCGUCUUCUGUGUGAACAAGUCAAGGAAGAUUGAAACAGAAUCCAUGACACUGAUUAUCACAUCUCUUUCCAUGUUGCUGACAGUUAUUGAACAUAUAUAUAUAUAUAUAUAUAAACCUCAAUAUUCUUGUGUUCAAAUCCCACCACAAGAAGAAUCAAAAUAUUGCAAAUGUUUGUUGCAGUGAUUAUGAUUAUAUUUGUUUGUCAUCCACAUUCUUUACAUGCAAGCAUGGUAUGUUUAUAUAUGUGAAGAGCAAGAAUCACCUACCUGGCUACUUGGACAAAAACUCUGAAUGGAGAGAGACUUUGCACCACUCACCUCCAACAGCGACUGCAAUUUAUCCCCAUAUUUAUACUGCAAGCAAACCACGGAUAAGUAGUUUUGCAAAUAAUACAAGACACAUUAAAAUCUUUCUAAAGAUAUGAUAGAUCAAUGUAGAUUACACUUAAAAAGAAAAUAGAAUUUUCGUUAAAUCUCCCUAAAAGAUCAACAAGUUAUGUUAUUAUGGCGCAACCAAAAGUUAAUCAUUGACAAUAUAUGUUAAACAUGUGAGGUGUGCACUACAUUUGAAUUUUGAUUUUUAGUGGUUAACCAAAAAAAAGUACAGAUAUAUCAAAAUUAAAAGAGUUUGAGAUAAAGUUCAAAAUCUUCUAAACAACUGUAGGAGUAAAAAUAUCACCUUGAUUGAUGAAUCCAAUAGAAAGGUAUACCCCCUCAUGCAAUUCUCGCGAGUAUCCACAUUCGCAAGUUCAACCAGAUCUCCUUCCAUUAUCAAUGUAGUAACAUGGCUAAUGAAAAAAAAAAAAAAAAAAAAAAAAAAAAAAAGAUAAAGACCGCCAUUAGAUUACGUGUACCUAAUUUUAAGCACCAUAGCUUUUAGUGACCAGUCAGUCCAAAUACCAAGUUAUAGGAAAGUCUCGCUUAAUAAUUACUAACUUCUAACAAACUACGUAUCAUGUAAAACCUGAUUUGUUUUAUGGGUUUGUCACGUGGAUCCAAUCAUCCAACUGCAGGUUAUGUAUUGUGGUUUAAUUAAUAGUAGGAGCAAUUUCUCUUGACAUGAACAUACAACUACUUAAACAAAAUAGGCUGCACUACAAUGCUGUAUUAUCAAACUCAUAGAGGUGGGGGAGAAAUGGCAAGAAGGUAUUGGAACAUCCAUUUGGAAGAGAUGAUGGAAGCAGGAAUUCAUUUUCGAAAGAUACAACAAUAUUAUGUAAGUAUAUACAUUUAAGAAGUGUAUUCUUCUAUUCCUUUCAAGAACUACCACUACAGGCAAGAAUGAAUUUACUUACGAAUUGCAGCCAGGAAAAUCAGUGCGAAUGCUUUUUUCUGCAACAACCUAAGUAUAAUACAGCAAUUAGUAAACAAAACAGAAAUACAUACAACAGCUAUAGCAUUCAUAUUAGAUUCAACUUUUAGAUAAAUGCUCUUGGUUUGGUUAUCAAACAUACUCAGUACCAUAUCCUAGCUCUGGCUUUCAUUUUAAAGUAAAGAUGAGAUGGCAAAUUCAUCAGUUACUCAAGAAAGAGAAGAAAAGAUGGAAAGAACCCUUUAAACGCUACAUCCACAGUGUCGUACAGACACAAGAAAUAAUGACCGCUGGUCAAAUGUGUCUCUUACAAAAUAAGAAAUCCACCCAGGAAACAGUUAAAAAGAGACUGAGUGAGGAAGGGAGAUCCCAAGACUACAAGCAGGACCACUGGUCAGGUGUGACUGUCAAAAUAAAAAAAAAAAGAGAUCCACCAGGAAACGAAACAGUUGAAAGAGAGGGAGCGAGCGAGGGAGGAUGCCUAAGCAUUCAGAAUAAAUAACCAGUUUCUUUUUCCUCUUUAUUUUUUUUAAGAAACAAAAGAAUUUAUUAAUAAAAAUGGAAACUACCAAAAACAAAAAAUGGAUGAGCAGACCACAAAGACUCUUCUUUAUUCCAAUAUUCCAUCAUAUUUUAACUCAUAUCAAACACAAUAUGGAAGAGAUGAAAAGCAAGAAUCCAAGCUAGAUUAAAAGAAUGUAUAACCUAGAGUAAUAUCCAAAUGCCUCAAUCCCCUUUCACACCUCUACGUGUAUCUUCUCUUCUAUAACCACCUAAACCGCAAGCGAAAUGCCUACCCAAGAAAGAGAAGGAAAACAUGGUAACAAUUGUUUACCUCAAGCCAACUAACAUCAACAAGAGGUUUCUUAGCCACAAUGGCAUCGAGAAGUUCCCCUUUCACUCGCAUGUGAUGCUGAACAAGAAUGUGCGUGCACUCUUGGCAAAACUUACUAGUAAUGAAAGCACCUAUAUUACAAGAAAUUAUUUGUUAACCACAAAUUGCACAAAGCACAUGGCUUCUUAAGCAGGAGUAGAAUCUUCAUUAAAUAUUAGCGAAUACAUAUAGAAAAUUUCCUACUAAGAAAUUGCGUCUCACUAACCUAUUGAUGAAACUUUUUCUUGUAGGGGAGCAUUUACUUGGAAGGAGUCAACAAAGAGUAUGAGUGGAGCAUAACAAAACCUGCAAGAUUAACUAAAAUUUGAAACUACUCAUAACCAACAGAGUUCGACAUAACAGUUAACUAAUACAAGCAUAGGAGUCCUAAAUAAUAAAAAACAAACGAAAAUGCCCAACCCAAGUUCAAGGAAGUUACCUGUAAGUAGCAUUACCGGUUCCAAAUGAAACCAAAUCACCAUCCUUCAAGGUUGCUUCUUUAUUUGGAAAUUCAUGAACUUUUUCCUUCGACCCAAGAUUCUUAUUAAUAAAUGUUCCAUAUUUUGAGCAAUCCUUAAUCCGAACUCUGGUAGUGGAAACCUUAGAAGAUUUGUCUUGAAAGGGGUUCAAAGAAAUCAUUUCAUCAACCAAUAUCUCCGCGUGAACACGCGAAACCCCUUUGUCUUUGUUAAUAAUUAUAUCACAACCUAAAAGAAAUUUAUAAAUUUAGCCAUACAUAAUAUAUCAUAUACUCAACCAUCAGUACAAAUAUCCAAAUACAAUUAAAUAGCUAAUACCUUUUCGACCCACUUUGUAAUUCCCUUUGCUGAAAAUGUAGUACUUGUCUUCACCUGUGAACAUAAAACUGAAUUAAAUUAAUUUUAAGUCGGAGUAAGAGCCUAGAAAGAAAAGAAAAAAUGAUGGAAAAAUGGAAGAGAAAAUUGGGGUAAAUGAUGAAAGGAACCUGGGAGAGGAUCGAUUGGAAAGAGACCCCACACCAUGAUUUCUUAUUUUCGAUGAAACAAAAACUUCUUCAGUGAUUGAAUCACCAUCAAAAGCCAAUGCAAACUAAUACUCAGCGUUUUACGAUUUGUUUCGCGCCUUCUUCUCCUCUGGCCUCUGGGGUUUGUAAUUAUGCUUUCUUCCCAAACCUGGGCUAUAAACAUAAUUUUCAAAAAAAAUUGUCAUUUAUAUACAAUUAUUUAUUCAUCUAAUCAUUUUUUAGGAUAUAUUGGUCACCAUGGGCCGAACUUGUAUAAUGAGUGGGCCAAACACGCCAGAGCCCACUUCCACUGCACAGCCCCAAACCGUGAAUAGACCUAUUAACACUCCUGUAGUCUCCAUUUAAAACUUCUUUUCAUGUCGAGACCUACUUUAAUUCUAAAAUUAUCCUUUUCUUUCACUAAUAAAAACCCAUACCUGAUAAAAUAAUAAAAAGGAAUGAUAUAUCAGUAUAAUCAUAUUGAUUAGAAUGUAAAGUGUUCAUGAGAAAAUUAUAUAUAUAUAAGAAAAAUAUUAUUGUGGUUUUGUAAGUAUAAAGAGUGAAACUUACAUAGAGAGAAAAUCUAAGGUUUAAUCAAAUUUAUUUUAUCCAUUGAUGUAUCAUGUAAUUGUGAUUGGAGCAGAGGUUUUAUAGACCCACUCCAAAUCAUAACCAAUGGUCCAGCCCAAUUUGAGUUGUGUGGUCCAAUAAUAGGCUUUCGAAAUGUAUGGUGUUUUUAACACCCCUUAAAGAUUCUUGUAACACCCCCUUCAAAUUUUUAUCUCCUAUGAUACUCCAUUUAAUUUAUAAAACAUAAACCUAUAUAUCAAAAUUAACCAUCCUCCAAUAAAAUUUCACCUUAAAAAAAUAUUUUUUAAUUUUUUUUUAAAUAAAUAGAGAUUCUAAAAUCUUUAAUUAUAAAUAGAUGAUUAAUAUCUCCAUAACUGAAAAAUCUUAUAAUUAAAAAAAAUAUCAAUUAAAGUUUAAAAUAUGAAUGGGAUUGGUAUAAAAAAAUUUACUAAAAGAAUAUUUAUUUAAGUGUUAAUUUAAUCCCCUCAAUUUAUCUCACCAUCCCCCACAU
RNAcentral lists this long non-coding RNA (55041 nucleotides) under Citrus sinensis (sweet orange). RNAcentral's name for it is "long non-coding RNA (CSIN_LNC002620)". Lineage: Eukaryota; Viridiplantae; Streptophyta; Magnoliopsida; Sapindales; Rutaceae. The record is from RNAcentral.